This 77169-nucleotide long non-coding RNA is filed under the name Medicago truncatula (barrel medic). RNAcentral describes it as "long non-coding RNA (MTRU_LNC004425)". Lineage: Eukaryota; Viridiplantae; Streptophyta; Magnoliopsida; Fabales; Fabaceae. The record is from RNAcentral.
GUUUGACUUGGGAGCUGGAAAGUAAGAUGAGGGACUCUUAUCCUGAGUUGUUUGUUUGAGGUAAGAUUUCGAGGACGAAAUUCAGUAAUUUGGGGAGAGUUGUAACACUCUAAUUUUUUUAUUUAAUUAUUUUUAAUUGUGUGGUGUCAUUAUGUGAUUUUUGGUGAUUAUUGUAGUGUAUAUAUAUUUAUUAUAUGAUUAUUUUAUUAAAUAAUUAAAAUAGGAGUAAAAUAUGAUUAAUUAGAAUUAUUUAGGAGGAUAAGGAUUAAUUGGAAAUUAAUAGUGAUUAGGAGGGGUUUAAUGAAAAAUAGGAGUUACACUUUGAAGGAAUAAGGAAAGAAAAAUAGAGAAAAACAGUUUAACCGGGUACCGAGAAUGGANUUGGUAUCCACUNNNNNNNNNNNNNNNNNNNNNNNNNNNNNNNNNNNNNNNNNNNNNNNNNNNNNNNNNNNNNNNNNNNNNNNNNNNNNNNNNNNNNNNNNNNNNNNNNNNNAAACCCAACUUGGACGCAUCACAAUAUACCACAAAAGGUUCUUCGGGCUUCGGCAAAAUCAAAACUGGAGCAAUCGUCAGACGUUUCUUCAAUUCACCGAAACUCCUCUCACAAUGAACGUCCCACACAAAGGUCUUACCUUUACAAGUCAACUGUGUAAGCGGAAGAGCUAACUUAGAAAAUCCUUCAAUAAAUCUUCUAUAGUAACCAGCUAAACCCAAAAAGCUUCUAAUCUCACUAACGGACUUAGGAGUAUCCCAUCGUGAUACAGCUUCGACUUUAGACGGAUCCACAGCAAUACCAUCUCCGGAAAUAACAUGGCCAGGGAAACUCACUUCUUUCAACCAGAAUUCACACUUAGACAAUUUGGCAUAAAGUUUCUUCUCUUUCAACACUUGUAAGACAAUCUUCAGAUGCUCUGCAUGUUCUUCUUCAGUCUUGGAGUAAAUCAAAAUAUCGUCGAUGAACACAACUACGAACCGAUCCAAAAAUGCAUGGAAGAUGCGAUUCAUAUACUCCAUAAACACUCCAGGUGCAUUGGUCACAACGAAAGGCAUAACUUUGUAUUCAUAGUGACCAUAGCGCGUUCUGAAAGCUGUCUUCUGCAUAUCCUCAUCUUUUACUUUAAUCUGGUGAUAACCCGAUCUCAAAUCAAUCUUGCUGAAAACUUGUGCACCCACUAGCUGAUCCAUCAAAUCAUCAAUUCUCGGAAGUGGAUACCUAUUCUUGAUAGUUACUUUGUUCAACUGCCGAUAAUCAAUACACAACCGCAUACUACCAUCUUUCUUCUUUACUAGCAAAACCGGCGCUCCCCAAGGUGAAACACUUGGUCUAACAAACUUCUUUUCAAGCAAGUCCUCCAACUGUUCCUUCAACUCAGAUAAUUCUGAAGCAGACAUACGAUAAGGUGCCAUCGAGACCGGUUUCGUUCCAGGAACAAGAUCAAUAGAAAACUCGACUUCUCUCUCUGGAGGCACAUCAGGAAUCUCAUCUGGAAAGACUUCAGGAAAUUCACACACCACCGGUAGCCUAUCAAUCAUUGCUUGAUUCUCAACAGAUAAAGAAGCCAUCAAGGAAAACAUCAAGAUAUCAUCGCGUUCCAGUUGCUUCAGCUGCUUAGUAGAUAAAAACUCUGCACCACUUUCCUCUUCGACGGAAGAGAAAUGUACUGACUUGCUAAAACAAUUAAUAAGAACGUGAUUGUACUUUAACCAGUUCAUACCCAAAAUCACAUCCAUACCACUCAAAGGUAGACAAACUAAAUCCAUUUCAAAAUCACGACCAAACAUAGACAAAGGACAUUUCAAACAUACGAGAGAAGUAGUCACCGAACCCUUAGCUGGAGUUUCGACAACCAUCUCUCCAUUCAUAUCAGACAACUCAAGACCCAAAGCAGAAACACAAUCGAAAGCAAUAAAGCAAUGCGUAGCACCAGUAUCAAUAAUAGCAACUAAAGGGGUAUUAUUAAUAUAGCAAGUACCUCUGAUCAAACGAUCCUCAUUCUCUGUCUGAGUCUCAGUCAAAGCAAAAACCCUACCAGUAGUCGGCGCCCUCUUCGGCUGAGUACACUGAGAACUAAUGUGACCCUCUCCAUUGCAGUUAAAGCACACAAUGUCCGUGCGAUUGCAAUCAGCUACAACAUGACCUCUCUUACCACACCGGACACACUUCUUGAUUUCUUCGGGACAGGCGUUGCUCUUGUGGCCUUUCCCACCACAAUUGAAGCACACAAUCUCUGCAGCAUCCUUCUUCUUAGGCCGCCUAACAUCGACCAUCUUCUGUUUCCCUUUGUCAGCGGGGGCACUGUACGGCUUAGGACGACUCUGCUGCCCCUUACCCUUCCUUUCGUUCACUACCUUGUAGUGAGCCUUCGUAUCCUCUUCAUAGAUCCUGCAGCUAUUAACCAAGUCCUGAAAAACUCUCAGCUGUUGAUACCCAAGCGCCCUCUUGAUGUCGGGCCUCAAACCGUUCUCGAACUUGAUACAUCUCGAGAACUCAGAAUUCUCAGCAGUAUAGUGCGGGUAAAACUUUGACAGCUCCACAAACUUGGCAGCAUACUCUGUCACAGACAUGUUCCCUUGCUUCAACUCAAGGAACUCGAUCUCCUUCUUCCCGCGAACAUCUUCCGGAAAGUAUCUUCUCAGGAACUCCCUCUUGAAAACAGCCCAAGUCACAACAGCUCCCUCCUGCUCAAGGGUAGGUAGAAGAGCAACCCACCAGUCAUCAGCUUCCUCGGCCAGCUGAUGAGUACCAAACCGAACUUUCUGAUCUUCCGUGCACUGCAUAACCCGGAAAAUCCUCUCUAUCUCUUUAAGCCACGUCUGGGCUCCAUCAGGGUCAUAACGUCCUUUGAAAGUCGGAGGGUUCUUCUUCAUGAACGUCUCCAACAUCCUAGCUUCAGCAUUCGCACCAGCAUUCACGUUAGGUUGUUGUCCCACAGCUUGGGCAACAGCUUGUAGAGCAGCAGCUAACGCAGCAUCGUUCCUUCCAGCCAUUCUGAUAUUCUACAAAAGUAGCAACAACAGUAUAAGAUAGUAAUAUAAUAUUACUAAGACUCGACACAACUCUCUAAUUGACCGGACGGACCGACCUGCUCUGAUACCAAUUGUAACACCCCGUUUUCCCAAUAUCGAAAAUUUCUUUAAAAACAUAACAUUUAUCAGAGUAACAUCAAACAACGGGAUAUCACAUAUAACGUAAUCCAACAGUUAAAUAAUAAUUUAACCAAUAUCUUAAACAUUGCAGCGGAAAGUCGUAAAUAUAAUUCAUAAAACGUUUUGGCACUCAGGCCCAACAAGUAUCUCAAAAGAGUUUAUCAAAACAUAAUUAUCAUGGCAGUUCACGUAAAAGAAUGAAGCUUAUUAUAGCAAUAACCCCAUCCCGUUACGUAUCAGAGCGACCUAGACGACACAGUGAAGGCAAGGCCACUCACGACGGCAACUGCACACUAAGCACGAUCACCUGCACGUUACCCACGGUCGAGGUAACAUUCAAACAGAAGGGGUGAGAUUUCAUAACAGAAUAACAUUAAACAAUGCAAUUAAGAAUUAUAAGUUAAACAUCAUAGUCAUUACAUUAUUAACUUUGCAUAAAUGCUAAGCAGUUAUCACGUAAUCAUAUAUCCAAUAAUUAGGAAUAACAUAACACAUUCAAUAAACACUUAUCACGUAAUCACAUAUUCAAUCAUUAUCAACAAGGCAUCUUAAUCAUGACAAUGUGACAAUGCUCCUAGACUCCAUAUAUGCAUGUGGUACCAAUCGUCAUCAUAAGUAUUAAUAUACUUUAAUCGUGCGGAGGACAAAGCUCCUAUAAAACGUGCGGAGGACAAAGCUCCUAAUAUUCGUGGUGAGGACUAAGCUCAAUGAUAUGUAAUGCAUGGACACUUAUGAACAAAACACGUAAUCAUCGUAAUCAACAAUGCGUCCAAUAAUUUGGAGCUAAACCUUAUCAUAUACAUAUGCACUUAGUUAAAUAACGGAAGCAGCAUAAACAAGUCACAUAUCAAGAUGAUAUCAUUAUAUCAAUAGCACAUAAAUUGCAUUAUUAUUAACCCUUCAUAUCUUGCAUGAAUAUACAAUAUAAUAGUUCUUGCUCAAUUAAUAUUUAUGUAACUUAAACAACUCUACAGGCUGCAUUAAACGUCAUCUUUAGGUUUCAUUACCAACUAGGGGUUCACUCUUGAUCAACACAUGCGACACAGAUCGCACAACACUCAAGCAACUACAUUCUGGUUGUACUCGCGAGGCGAGAGUACUUACUCGCCAUGGCGAGUAACACUAAUCUCCCCAACUGAUGUCGUCCUGGCCCCACCCCUGUCCCUACAUUCCCUCCCAAUCCAUCCCUAAGUCAUGCUCCCGGUCCCCCCCCGGGCUUACAAGGCCUCAACCCCAACAACGGUCCCACCCCCGCACACUUUUGACCUUCGCCCCCCCGCCCCUAAUCNNNNNNNNNNNNNNNNNNNNNNNNNNNNNNNNNNNNNNNNNNNNNNNNNNNNNNNNNNNNNNNNNNNNNNNNNNNNNNNNNNNNNNNNNNNNNNNNNNNNACUCUAGAAGGAUCCCGCCAGAGAUCAGGCUGAAGACAGUGAUUUUAAAAUCGAUGAUCAAGGCGUGUUGAGAUUCCGAGGGAGAAUUUGUAUUCCAGACGACGAAGAGAUUAAGAAGAUGAUUCUUGAAGAGAGUCAUAGAAGUAGCUUGAGUAUUCACCCGGNGAGCUAUGUAACGCCCUCCUUGAAUUAUUUGAUUAUUUAAUUAUUUUUAUUGAGUUAGGAUAUAUUUAUAUAAUUUAUGUGAUUUUAAAUAAUAUUGGUUGAUUAUGUGGUGUGUAUUAUUUUAUUAUAUAGUCUAUUUUAAUAUUAAUUAGAAUAAUGUGAGAAUUAAUAUUAUUUUGGAGGUUGGGGAGUUAAUUAGGAAUUAAUAGAAUUAAGGGGAGUUUAAUGAAAUAAAGGAGGAGUUAUAUUUUGGGAGUUAGGAAAAGAAAAGUCAGAAAAACAGUUUAACGUGAAAACAAGUGGGAGAGGAGAAAAGCUAAGGCAAGGGAGAAGACCAAGAGAGAAAAGCUUAGGAACUGAUUGCUGUGUUUUUGUCUUUGCAAUUCUAAGGUAAGGGUGAGACUAUCUCUCAAUGAUAAUGGUUAUAUAAUUCUGAUUUUGGUUUAGCAUAGUUCUAGUUGAAAUUGGGAAUUGGGGGUUAGGUUUUGGAGUAUGAUUCUUGGAUUGAAAAGUGUAGAAAUCAUGACAAUUGUGUUAAGAAUCGAUGUUCAGAUUGUAGAAUAAACAUAGGUUGAGUUUCCUAUCAAAUUUGGGGUUUGGGUGGAUGAAAAAUUGGGUUUUUGGCUGAAAACUGGUCUGUUCCCGUAGGGUUGUUCGUCGCAACUCGCCACAGCGAGUAAACUUACUCGCCUCGCGAGCUGCACAGAGACAGCAUCACCUGUUUCGCGUUCUUGCGUCUUUUUCACAUGUUUCUGUUUUGAAUUGGUCUUUAGUGUAAACAUGAAAGUUGUAGAUAAUUUUGUUAGCUUUCCAAUGGCUUUGGUUGGACUCGAAAAUGAGUUUUGGUUUAUGAGAUAUGAUGAAAAUACUCCAAGGAGGUCUUAGUGAAUUUUUAUGAAUUUUAGCACAACUUUGUCAGAAUUUGAAAUGAAAACUGGUAUUGAUUGGUACAUAAUUGGUCUCAGGUGUAAACACAAAAGUUGUAGGUAUGGAUGUUAGCUUUCUAAUGUCGUUGGUUUGACUUCAAAAGGAUUUAUAGAACUUGAGUUAUGGUCAAAUUACUGCACGUAGGUCACAGUGAAGAAUUGUUUAUGAUUGAUGAAUUAAUAUAUGUAUGUAUAUAUUUGUGAGCGAUAUUGUCCAUGAUUGAUGAAGUGUUAUAUGUAUAUAUGAUGUUUUAAGAUGUUAAUUACCAUUUGAUGUCGUUAUAUCUUGAGAUUGUUUGUGUACUGCCAUGUCGCUGUUUAAUUAUGGAUUAAGCUGUAUAUGUGGGUUAAUGUGGGUUAACGUUGGUUAAUAUUUGAUUAAAGUUAGGUUUUGUUAAUUAAUGGGUUUUGAGUGUAGGAAUUGUUGAAUUGGAGUUAGAAAUGGGUUCUGGGUACAUAAAACCUUUCAUUUCAUAUCUGUAAACUAAUUUGGGGAGUGAAUUGAAGGAAAAUGAGAUUUUUGGGAAAAACCUGCAUUCUGCCCGUACAGAAGUUCAUCGCUCGCCUCGCGAGUAGCCUGUGCUCGCCAUAGCGAGUGAGCAACUUCAUGGCUCGCCUCGCGAGUGAUACAACUCGCCAUGGCGAGUACCCUUGUGAAAAUCUGAAUUUUUAAAAUGUUGUUAUAAGCCGUAUUUUGGGUAGUUUUAUGUAUCUAGAUGAUUUUAAAGAGGACUGGAGCAAGUUUUAGGUUUAAAAGAUGAUUAGGGAGCUUAGAAUUGAUGAUUUAGUGAGAAAAUGUCGAAACUCCCGAGAGCACCACUUUUCUGUUCGCCUCGAGUUCGCCUCGAACUCGCCAUGGCGAGUACCUUAUUUCCCGAGCUCGCCAUAGCGAGUAGAUGUGCUCGCGAGGCGAGCUGCCCAGAAUUUUGUUGGUUUGACUUCUGUUGUUAAUGGUUGAUUUAUCUUGUUGAUUAAGCAUGGCUUGUAUGUUGGUGUAUUUCUCUGGAUGUUCUAAUUUGGUUGUGAUUGAUGAAUGGAUGCUAGCUGGAUGUAUGCUUUUAUUUAAUUAAGUUUUACAUGAAUGUUGUAAAUUGGAGUGGUGAGUCAUAUAUACAUAUAUGCUUAGGUGGGAUUGUAUGUAGAUAUACUCAAGUGGGUCAGUUGCAUGAGCAUAACAGUGGGAGAGUUUCGGCUCUGGAACGCCUUGUCGUUCAAAGUGGUGGAGCACUAGUUGCUCAAAGUGAUGUUAGUGGUGAGGACUUAUGUCCUGAUGAGAAUGCUUUAACCAUUCGACAGCGGUGUGGGUCACGGCCCUGAUUAUGGUACCACAUGCAUAGUUGCAUUUGUUGAGGAGUCUUAGUGGAGUUGUCAUGUCUUGCAUGAGUCUUAGUGGUGGUGUCGAGUUGUUGCAUGAGUCGUUGUUGAUGGCUUUAAUUAUCAUUUGGUUGAUGUGUUAAUGAUGAUAUACUUAUAUAUUGGUGAAUUAUUAUUAUGGCAGAGUGUUAGAUGUAAUUGAUGAAUUGGAUAUCUAUUAUUGAUGAUAUUGUUGAUUAUGAAAUAUAUACAUAUAUUGGAUAAUUGUAGUUGUCGUUGUUCUUGAGAGAUUUGUUGUUGUUGUUGUUGAUUAAGUUGUUGUCGUUGUCGUUGAAUCUUGUUGUUGUCGUCGUUGUUGGUUGAAUUAGCAAGCGUUACUAAAGUUAAAGAAGUAAGAACAUUAUUGUUGAAUAUAUGUUGUUGUUUAUAUUAUUAUGAUAUUGAUUAUAAUGUUAUGAUGACUGUUUAUGGUGUUGAAUAUAAAAUUGGUGUGAUGUUACGUGAUGGUAAUUAUAAAUGUUGUGAUGAUGAUUAUGAGAUGUUAUCUAUAAGUUGUUAAAUGUACUUGAUGAUGGUUAUGUUAAGUUGAUAAGUUGUCUUUUAUUCAUAAAUUGCUAAUUGAAUGUUUGAUGAAUAAUUAUUAUUAUGAAAUGAUGAUGUUACGUAUAGUUGCUAAGUUGUCCUCUAUUCAUAAGUUGUUAAUAAGGUGCUAGGUGGAGAAUGUUAACAUGAAUAAAUGAUGUUGUUAUGUUGUAUAUGAACUAUGAAUAUGAUGUUGUUACGUUGUUUAGGUCAUUGAUUAUGAAGUUGUCAUGUUGUAUACGAAUUAUGAGUAUGAUGUUAUAUGAUUAUGAUUAAGAUGUUGAUUAUGAAGUUAAAUGAUGCUGCUAUGAUGAUGUUUAUGAUAUCGAGUUAUGACUGUUGAUAUGAUGAGUAUAUGAUAUGGUUUAGGAGUCGUUAAAAGAAUUACUAUUACUAAUUGAUGAAGUUUAAGUUGUUAGAUGCAUUUGAUGAAUUAUAUAUUAUUAUUAUUGAUUGUGAAUCUCACCCCUUCUGCUUGAAAAUGUUGCUCUUCGUAUGAGUAACUUGCAGGUGAUCGAGAGUAGGUUGCUGUGUUUUUGCUGUCGUGAGUGGCUAUCCCUCACUGAGUCGUUUAGGUGCUCUGAUACGUAACGGGAUGGGAACUUUGUUGCAUGCUUUUCUAUUCCUUAUGUAUUGUUUAUAAAUUUACAUGAUUAAGUUGUUAAUUGGAUUUUUAUGAGAUGUUUUGAUGAGGCCUUCGUGCCAAGACUUUUUAUGUUAAUGAAUUUAAUCCGCUGCAAAGUUUGAAUUAAUAUGUCGAAGGAUAAAUUAGUUAAUUAACUUAUUUACGAUUUUAUGAAGUGUAGCAUUCCGUUUACAUGUUGAAUACUCUGAUUAAUUAAAUGAAAUUUUUAAGUCGGGAAAACGGGGUGUUACAAGCUACGAAGAUGUAUCAUGAUCUAAAGAAGAUUUUCUGGUGGUCUGGUUUGAAAAGAGAUGUGGCACAGUUUGUGUAUUCCUGUUUAGUUUGUCAGAAGUCGAAGGUCGAGCAUCAGAAACCCGCUGGGAUGAUGGUACCUUUGGAUGUGCCGGAAUGGAAAUGGGAUAGUAUAUCGAUGGAUUUUGUGACGAGUUUGCCGAAUACUCCGAGAGGGAGCGAUGCAAUUUGGGUUAUAGUUGAUAGAUUGACAAAGUCAGCUCAUUUCCUACCUAUUAAUAUUAGUUUCCCUGUUGCCCAGUUGGCAGAGAUUUACAUCAAAGAGAUUGUGAAGCUGCAUGGUGUUCCUUCGAGCAUUGUAUCAGAUAGAGAUCCAAGAUUUACUUCUAGAUUUUGGAAAAGUUUGCAAGAGGCCUUGGGUUCGAAGUUGAGAUUGAGUUCGGCGUAUCAUCCACAGACAGAUGGUCAGUUGGAGAGGACAAUUCAGUCACUAGAGGAUUUAUUGAGAAUUUGUGUUCUUGAGCAAGGAGGAACUUCGGACAGUCAUCUUCCAUUGAUCGAGUUCACUUAUAAUAAUAGCUAUCAUUCUAGUAUUGGAAUGGCACCUUUCGAGGCUUUAUAUGGUCGGAGAUGCAGAACUCCGUUGUGUUGGUUUGAGUCAGGUGAAAGAGUGGUCUUAGGACCAGAGAUUGUUCAGCAAACUACUGAGAAAGUUCAGAUGAUCCGAGAGAAAAUGAAGGCGUCGCAGAGUCGACAAAAGAGUUAUCAUGAUAAGUGUAGAAAAGAUCUUGAAUUUAAGGAAGGAGACCACGUGUUUUUGAGAGUCACUCCUAUGACUGGUGUAGGACGUGCUUUGAAGUUAAAGAAGUUGACCCCGAAGUUCAUUGGUCCAUAUCAGAUUUUGGAAAGAGUUGGGACGGUGGCUUACCGAGUGGGUUUACCGCCGCAUCUUUCGAAUUUGCACAAUGUUUUCCAUGUGUCGCAACUUCGAAAGUAUGUUCCGGAUCCAUCUCAUGUAAUUCAGAGUGACGAUGUGCAAGUUAGAGACAACCUUACGGUAGAGACGUUACCGUUGAGGAUUGAUGAUCGUAAAGUGAAGACGUUGAGGGGCAAGGAGAUACCUCUCGUGAGAGUCGUUUGGUCGGGAGCGACUGGCGAAAGCUUGACGUGGGAGCUUGAGAGUAAGAUGCUGGAGUCGUAUCCAGAGUUGUUUACUUAAGGUAAAUUUCCCCACGACGAAAAUCUUUUAAGUGGGGGAGAGUUGUAACCCCCCCUUUUCCUGAAUCAUUCCUCUCAUCCUCCUCUCCCCCCUGAUAUCAUCCGCCCUCUCACUAUCGUGCUGGACGUCGCCUCUCUUCCCGCCUCCCCUCCCGGGACAACCCCCAUCAUCCCUUCAAUCCUCCGUCCUCGACCUCGCCUUCCACUCUCUCCAUCCCUUCUCCCACCCGCCCAAGCCUCCCCCCCCCUCCCUCCCCGACCCCUCCAUUCCCUCCCUCCGACCUCUUCCGGCCCCCCCUCCGAGUCGCCAUCUGCUUGCCCCCCCUCCGCUGCCCUCCCUCUCCUCAAGUACGCACCUCUANNNNNNNNNNNNNNNNNNNNNNNNNNNNNNNNNNNNNNNNNNNNNNNNNNNNNNNNNNNNNNNNNNNNNNNNNNNNNNNNNNNNNNNNNNNNNNNNNNNNCUCAAAUCAUUAUAUGGACUCAAACAGGCCAGCAGGAAAUGGUAUGAAAAAUUGGCAUCUCUGUUAGUUAGUCAUGGGUAUAAACAAGCUUCAGUAGAUCACUCUUUUUUCAUCAAACAUAGUACCACUCAAUUCACUACUCUCUUAGUCUAUGUUGAUGACAUAAUCUUAGUUGGUAAUUCUUUGGAUGAAUUAACUUUUAUUAAGAAUAUUCUUCACAAUUCCUUCAAAAUCUAAGAUUUGGGCCAGCUUAAAUAUUUCCUAGGUUUGGAGAUUGCUCAUUCAAAACUAGGCAUUUCUCUAUGCUAAAGGAAGUAUUGCUUGGAUUUGUUGUCUGAUACAGGUUUUUUAGAUUCAAAACUUGUAGCCACCCCUCAGAUCCGUCAAUCAAGCUAUAUCAUGAUGAUUCACCUCCAUACAUAGACAUUCUUGCUUACAGAAGACUUGUUGGGAGAUUAUUGUAUUUGAAUGCAACUAGACCAGACAUUACCUUCAUUAGUCAACAAUUGAACCAAUUCUUAUCUAAGCCAACUCAAACACACUACAACGCAGCUUUAAGAGUGCUUAGAUAUCUCAAAACUUGUCCUGGCAAAGGUAUUCAUUUUCCCAGAUCUUCACUUCCUUAUAUCCAAGGUUACUCAGAUGCUGACUGGGUAGGUUGUAGAGACACCAGAAGAUCCAUUUCUGGGCAAUGUUUCUUUCUUGGUGAUUCAUUGAUCUCAUAGAGGACCAAGAAACAACUCACUGUCUCUAGGUCUUCUUCUGAAGCUGAAUAUAGAGCAUUGGGAGCAGCUACCUGUGAGCUUCAAAGGUUGUUGUAUCUUUUGAAAGAUUUGCAGAUUAUAUGCACUAGAGUUCCUGUGUUGUAGAUUUGCAGAUUAUAUGCACUAGAGUUCCUGUGAUAAUCAGAGUGCUCUUCACAUCUCAGCUAAUCCAGUGUUCCAUGAAAGAACUAAACAUUUGGAAAUUGACUGUCACAUUGUCAGAGAAAAAAUUGCAGCAGGAAUCAUGAAACUUCUUCCCAUUUCCUCUCAAAAUCAAUUUGCAGAUUUUUUUAUUAAGUCCCUUCUUUCUCGACCUUUCAAUUCUCUGCUGUUCAAGCUGGGUUUAGUUGAUAUAUACAAACCUCCAACUUGAGGGGGACUAUUACAUUUUAUGUUUUAGCUUUACUAUUAGAGAUAACUUGUGGAGCAAGUUAUCUAGUAGAGUAGCAAUUCUCUAGUUGCUAGUUCACAGUACUUAGCAUACUUUCCCUCUAUUGUAUAAAUAUCAUUGUACUACACUCUUUUCAUCUUUUUUUUUUUUUGGUCAAGUAGCCAAGUGGCUAGUCAUAAUAAUUCCUCCCUUUGAUUUAAAUUUUUUCUUCUAAAUUGUUAUCUUUUGUUCCCAUAUUUUAUAUUUUGUCGUGAUCCCAGAUCCACAAGGAAGAAACUUGAUACUCAUUUCAUUGUUCUAAGUUUUUCUUUAAAAAAGAAGAUAUGUUCUAAGAAGCGUUUUUUUUCCUGAGCAAAUGUUCUACGAAUCUUGAUCCACGAGGAAUUCAAAAUUCUACUUUUUUUUGUUACAAAAUAAAGAAGAAAAUCAAAAUUCUAUUUUAGUAGUGUUCAAAAAAGGAAUACUAAUAACAUGAUACAAUUAUGAUAUUAAUGACAAAUGACUCACUUUAGGAAUGUUUUAAUCUCAACCAUUCAUUAAAAAUUUGAUGGCUAGCUCUUAUUCAUUCUCAUCAUUCUCAUAUAAAAAUAGCUCCAUGAUAUUCAUACGUGGUCAGUGCUAUUUCGAUUUCUAUGAGUGUGAGAGUGGAUUUUGAAAAAUUGAUACAGCACCAUGAUAUUAGACGAAGAAGAUGAGACGAGGCUUCUAUCGGAUUAACAAAUGAAUUUGGGGAAAAUAUCAACCAUUCACGUGACUAUAAUAAGGGUUUUAAUUUAAGCCAUUAAUUUUUGAUCUAGUGGCUCAAAAUUAUUCCUACUAUUCUCACCUAAAAUACUCAUUCUCACUUGAUAUGUCCCCUAUAUAUAUAUAUAUAGAGAGAGAGAGAGAGAGAGUGUUUUGCUAGAAGACAUCUUUUAUGAAGGUGUCUUUUUUUAACAAAGUUAUAACCAAAAAGUGGAUAUCACACCUUGAGGUGUGGCUUGCUAAAAGACACUUGUAAAAUGUGACUUCUAGCAAAACCCAUGUGUGUGUGUACACACACAAAAUAUUGGCGCCUCUAAAAAUAUAGUGUCCUCGACUGCUGUCCCCUUAGCCCAUACUCGGGGCCAAGAGGGAAAAAAAAUCAUUACAUUUACACAUACCUUCAUUGUGCCAUGCAACCCAAAUGAAAUAAAGUCACUUUGCUGUAGCUUGCAUAUAGAAAGUUUCUUUGGGCAAAAAUCAGAUGGUAUGAUCCGUGAAGGAUAUUUAGGCCAUUCCAAUACUCUCAAACUGUUAGGAAGAUAUUUAGGACCUUUGGAAAAGCUACCAUUCUUAACAAUAAGUGUUUUGAGGUUUUGCAUCUUCUUGAGCUCAUCUCCCUUCCAUUCUAUCACCUCUUCCUCAGAUAACGGGAAUUCCAAAUAUAUAAUUUCAAUUUGACUUGAUCCCUUAAAGCGCAAAAAAAAAAAAAAAAAAACACAAAUCAACCAAGAUAACAAAUAAACAUAGGAACAAAAUUGAUAUUAAAAGAAUUAGUUAAAAAGAACAAAAUGAAGAUUAAAGAUAACAAAAAACCCAUUCAUAGAUAUCAGUAUUCACCUUAUUUUCUUCUAAGACAUGAAUUAUGUCUUUAUGGAACCACAACCUACUACGUCUUCCUGGCUCUUUUGGAGAUUUUUCAUGCACAAUUUCUUUACCCAUUUUCUCUAUCAAGGCAUGUAAUGUCACAACAUAAUUCCCCAGGUACCAGUAGAUCUUUAUGAGAGAUUUGUCAUGCAACACUCUGAUUUGAUAAUUCAUGCAGUUACCAUAAUGAGCAUGAAGUAUAUUUUCAAGUUCUUUCAAUUCAUAUCCUUUGAAGCAGCAAGCGAUGUCAAGAAAAACAUUUUUCUCAUCUUCCUCCAAAGCAUCAAAGCUUACUUUAAGUAUCUCUUGGAUCUUUCUAAUGGGUCUCCUUUCAUACUGACUUAAUGCAGAUUUCCAUUCUCUUAUAUUCUUUCCAAACAAGUUGGAACCCACUACUUCUAAAGCCAAUGGAAGGCCAGAAGCAUAAGUUACAGCCUGGUGUAAAAUGUCGUCAAAAUUUGUAUCGACUUUGUUAUUUUUGAAAGCAUUCCAUCUCAACAAUUCAAGAGCUUCUUUGUCAUUUAACUUAUGUAUUUCAUAUGCUCUUUCAAUCCCAUGACCAUCUAGCAAUUUUUUUUCUUGAGUGGUAAUGAUCACUUUACUUCCAAGACCAAACCAAUCAAGUCGUCCAGCCAAAACUUGCAAUUGCUUCAGUUCAUGAACAUCAUCUAGAAUCAACAAAACCUUCUUUCGGUGAAGCCUUUGCUUUAUGAUUGGAAUUCCCUCGUUGACAUCUCCUAACUUAACGUCCAAUUCAACUAAUUUGGAAAGGAGCUUUUCCUGUAGAUGCUCUAAACCAUAUUUAGCUGAAUUUUCCCUUACAUUGUGAAGAAAACACAAACCAUCAAAUUGAUCGGCUAUGGAAUUAUAAACUGCUCUGGCAAGUGUUGUCUUUCCCAUCCCUCCAGUCCCAUAGAUCCCUAGCAUCUGAACUUCACCAUUAGAUCUGAGAUCCAGAAAUGAAUUUACUUUUAGGACCCUAGACUGGAGACCAACGGGGUAAUCGGCAACAUAUAAAGGAACACGAUUGAUCUUGCUGGAUACGUAUUUGACUAUCUUCUCAAUAAACUCAUAUUCAUAUCCAUUCCUAUCCAAUCAAAUAAGUUUGAGUAAAUGCAUCACAAAUAUACAAUAAGAUCCAUGUAUGGUUGUAUGAAUACAAAUCAAAUAUUGUUUUGACAUAAAAUAACUUUCACUUGUUAAGAAUAGAAAUAAUAUUUUCUAUUUAAACAAUAUGAUGAAACGGUUGGAAAAUAGAAUAUUUAAGAAUGCAAAACAUGAGUGAAGUGGGGUACCUAGGAUUGAAAUGGUGGCCAGAGAAGUUAGCAGUUUGAGUAAGAGCACUCUUCCAUUUCUGCAACCUCUCCAUGUUAUUCUUGUUAUUUUGGAACUUCUCUAUAUGAUCAUCCAGUGCUUUAGCAUAACUUCCAUGUUGAUGUCGCACAUGAGAAGGUUCCACAUCAUAAAAAAUCGGCAAAACUAGACGGCUACUUUCCUUGAAGCAGUGAAUGAUGUGGACAAGUUCGUCCAAGCAAAAUGAAGAAGAAGCAUAAUUGGUAGAUAAGACAGGAAUGAAAAUCCUAGUCUCUUCAAUGUGCUUGAAAAGUGAUGGUGUUAUUUCGUCACCUCCUUUAAGCUCUCUGUCAUCAAUGAAGGUGCGAAUUCCCUUCCUACAAAGAUCUUUGUGGAGAUUUCCAAUAAAACUGUAGCGUGUGUCACUACCUCUAAAACUUAGGAAAACGUCAUGAGUGAAUCCAUAGGAGAAGGAAGAGGAGGAAGAGAUGGAUGAUUGAGUAUGAGAAGGAAGAGCCAUGAGAAUAGUGAAUAAUGGGAAGCAAGAAGAGUAUGAGAAGGAAGAAUACAGAUGAUUGUGUGUGUGUUAUAGUCACAAAGAUUGGAACACAUGAAUGGGAACGCAGUUUCCCUUUUGCAAUUGUCAAACUUCUUUUUCCUUUUCCUGUCUUUUCUGUUUGCCAAUACACAAUAAUAUAAUGUAAUAAGGAAAAGGACAAGUGUAAAAUCAUACAAUAGUGUAAUCAUUAUUUUUUCUUUUGAGACAUUUAUAUGGUAUUCAAAUAUAUUAGUGUAUUAAUUUGACCUGCUUUAGGACAAUAUUCAAUUUAAAGUUCAGAUUAGAUAAUUUUUCAUGUAAUAGAAAAUGAAAUUUCCUAUCUGCCGUGUGGGUCAGCCAAUACACCAUGAUAAUAAUCAUCAUUUCACUAUUGUUAUUCCAUGUAUAAUAGAAAAAGUAAAGGUUGUGUCACAAAACAAAAGAAUAUAGUGGUAGUGGUGCUGAUUUCUCAUAACUUUUCUUCGCCGAAAGUUUUCUCCUCAAGAUUGUUUUCACGUUCAAAUUAAAUAUAAUAAAUAUUUUAUCCUUCGAAAAAAAUGCAUAAAGUUUUGUCUUCAAAUUUGUUUUCGCAUUCAAGUUCUACUGGAUCUAGAAAGUUAUAGGUAGACGCAUAGGGGGAAAAAGGACACCCAGAUGAAUGCUACCAAGCCUUCGAAUAUGCUAAAUGACUAAUAUUUCAGACACAUAAUUACAUUCAAUUAUUUCUACUUUCUUAAAUAAUAAUCAAGGUCUAUAAUUAUACAUGUCGGUGUGUUGGUGUCGUGUCCGGUGUCAAUGUUUUAUACCUAGUAAAUCACCAAUUAGGCAUCUGAAAUUGUAUUAACAAAAACAAAUCUAUCAUACUAAAACAACUACUUUUUUUUUUUUGAAUCAAGAGAGCAAGGAAGGCAUCAAGGAGAAGCUACACAUAUAAAUUAGGUUGACACCCCGAAGUUGCUCCCAUCAUCUACCACCUGCUCUGAAAUUUUAUUAAAAAAUAAAAAAUUGUACAAGAGGGGAGGAGUAAAAAUUGUACAACAAAAGUGGUAACAAAGGGAAUUAAAAUUCGGAAGACAUCCCUUUCAAAAUCCUGCUUAACAGUACAAGCAUCAAAGCCUCUAAAAUUCCAAUAGAAGACCUUCAUUGAGUAGGAGGAGUAAUUACACCCUUAGAUCAGGUUUUUUAGGAAACUCGAUAGAGUUCUUUUUUCCGCUUCAUACUAAAAUAAGGUGUAAAUUGUUUUGUAGGCUCCUCCACCUCUGGAUCCAAAAAUUGCCGUAACAAAUUGAUAUCCUUCUGCAAAACUGGGUAUAUGGGCGGUUGCUGCAUGUUUUGAGUAUCUGGAACAGUUUCAUGUGAGGAUGUGGUUGUGGAACUCCCAGGAAAUGUCGCAGCCGUUGUUGCACUUAGAGGCUGAACCGAUUCAACUUUCAAGUAUAGGACAGUUCUCUAACUGUUGAACCUUUUCCUCGGUGUUUCGUUCAACAAUAUCAAUGACAUUCUCCAAUGGGAAAUGAAAUGAGGUACCUGACUUCGUUAGUGCACCUUCCUUCACAAUUUCAUUCUCAUCUAUAUUCACAGUGGCCUCAUGUUGUUCAUUUGUGGCAUGCGUAUGUUGUUCCUUCUUUGUCUCAACUAUGUUCUCAGGCGUGUCAUGUUGUUCAGUUGCGGCAUGUGUAUGUUUUUUAUAUUUUGUGUGUUGAUGUUUCUAUAGUGAUAGCAUCCUCUUGCUCCAUUACAUUUUCCACAUUAAUUAUCUUAGUCUCAGCUAUGGAAGCACCUGCAACCGAGGUACCAUUGUGUUCAUCUCUUCUGCAUUCUACCCAUUGUUUUCUACCCUUUUUCGGUGCCUCCACCUCAUGGUGAUUUGUCCCAACAACAUGUUCCUCCACUCUAGGAUGCAGCCAUUUGUAAUUAGAAACAUUGUGCACAAUGAUACGACAAUGGGAGAAAAACAUAGGCAGCCUCUCAUACACCACGUCCACCUAACAGGUGAAAUAUUUGGAGAAGAAGGAAAAUACUCCCAAUUGGAGGUAAAAGGAGGUAAAGAAGAAGUAUAGGGUAAAAUUAAUUCAUGAAAGAUGACAUUUUUGGAAAUGAGUAUUUCUUUUGUGUUAAGAUCAUAAAUAACAUAUCCUUUGAAACCUAACUUGUAUCCUAAGAAAACAUACUUUAUAGCUCUAUGCUGUAAUUUAGUUCCAUGAGCUUGAAGAGUUGAAUAAUAACAUAAACAACCAAAAACUUUGAAAGAUUGAAGGUCAGGUAAUGAGUCAUACAAACUUGAAUAAGAACCCUAUUUAUAAGGAAAACAGCAUACAAGACAGCAUAUAAACAUAUUGGAAAGUUUAGAUUGAUAUGACAAAGCUCUAGAUACCUUCAGGAUAUGUUGGUGUUUUUUUUUCUACCCUGCCUUUUUUUGAGGUCUCUCAACACAAGAUUUUUGGUGAAUGAUCCCUUUUGAUGCAUAAAAGUCAGAAAGAAGAAAUUCCGGUCCAUUAUCAGACCUCAUGAACUUAGGAGUUAUAUGAUGAUGGGUAUGAAUGAGUUGAAUAAAACUUUUGACAUGAGAAGAUACCUGAAAUUUGUUUUUUAGUAAAAUGAUCCAUAAAAAUCUACUAAAAUCAUCAAUAAUAGUAAGAAAAUACUUGUGAUUAUGAACUGAAAUUUUGGCUAUGGGACCCAAAUAUCAAAGUGCAAUAGUUCAAAUUUAGAAGAAGCGAUAGAGGUACUCAAAGAAUACGGCAAUUUUCUUUGUUUGACAAAAUGACAAAUAUCACAAGUAGUUUUAUUAUUAGUAGAUACAGUAGAGUACAUAUGAUGCAUUUGAGACAAUCUUUGAUUAGACAAAUGUCUUAAUCUAAAGGUCCGUAUAUCAUUAGAAGGACUUUGAGAAUAAUUAACAGUACAAGAAACUUAAUUACAAGACUUGUGUGAAUUUUGAUGCUUGAAUAUGCUUGUAGUAUUGAUUCACACUUAGAUCUAGCUUUUCUUUCUUAUCUCUGUUUCUUUGAAUAUGUUUGUAGUGUUGCUUCACACUUCGAUCUAGGUAUGUUUAUUGUUCUUGUUGUUUUUGUUGUUGUUUCUUGAGACUACUCUGCCCAUUGAUUACUACCUUUUCUCCACACAUCUAAGUUUAUUGAUGUGAUUUUUUAUUGUUUGAAUUCACAACAAUUGACGCCCAACAUGGGAUAAAGGGGUAAAUUGGUGAAGUGUGUAUCAUGGGUUGAAAGCGGGACAUCGAGAAGUUCACCAGAUUUAAUGAUUUCUGGUGAUGGAAGCUACUUAAGAUGCAAAUAGUUUUGACACACAAAAUGUGUUGAAGUAUAAAGGGUGAAGCUGCAAUGUCAGCUACCUUGACACAAGUGGAGAAACUUGAGAUGAUAUACAAGGCAAAGAGUGCAUUGUUUUUUUUCUUCUUCCUGGAAAUGAGGUUUUGAGUUAUGUCGCGAGGGAAUUUAUCGCGGCACCAAUGUUGGCUAAGUUGGAGUCAUUAUACAUGAUUAAAUCUUUGGCUAAUAGGACACUAUUGAAACAACAUCUCUAGUCAUUCAAGAUGCUGGAGUCUAAACCUAUCAUGCAUGCAGCAAUGAACGAAAUUCAAUAUGAUUUUUGAUGACUUGGUGAACAUUGAAGUGAAGGUGGACGAUGAAGACAAAGUUUUGUUGUUACUAUGUUCUUUACCGAAGUCUUUUGAGCAUUUUAUGGAUGCCAUCCUUUACAAAAAGGAAACACGACUACUUUGGUGAAAAUCUAAACCGCUUAGGCUUUGUUUGCGAGUUUUCAGGGGAAGGAAAGGAAAGGCUAAGGAGGGGAAGGGAAGGAAAGGGAGGGAAGGGAGAGAGGAGGGAAAACCUUCCCCUUGUUUGGGAGUUAAAAAGCCAAUAAGGAAAGGAGAUGGAGGACUUAUGUUAUAAUUUUACUAUUUUACCCUUUUUCCUCUUAAAAUCAAUACAUUGUUAUACAAACCGUCCCUGUGGCCAAAAAUGUUGCCACAUCACCAGCGAAGUGGGGCCAGAGACGUUUUUAAAACAAAUUUUUUUUUACAGGGAUGUAAUUAAAUUUUUUUUUUUUACAAGGACGAAAAUCAAAAUCAGCCCAAAUUACAGGGACGGUUUGCAUAUUUAAGCCUCUAAUUUAUUCAAAACAACUUAUCUCAUGAAAAACAAAUUAUUACGAUCUAUUUUUAAAAAACAACUUAUUUAUAUAUAAAAAAAAAAAAAACUUAUUGCAAUCACUUUUUAAAAACAACUUAUUUAUACAAAACAACUUAUUACGGCCUCUUUUUAAAAAAUAGCUUAUCUUAUGAAAAACAAAUUAUAAUGAUCUUUUUUUUAAAAAACAACUUAUUCAAAACAGCUUAUUUAUACAAAACAGCUUAUUAUGACCUCUUUUUUAAAAAAAAAACAGCUUAUUCAAAACAGCUUAAUACGAUCUCUUUUUCAAAAACAACUUAUCCAAAACAUCUUAUGUAUACAAAACAGGUUAUUACGACCUCUUGUCAAAAAAUAAGUUAUGCAAGGAGCAGGGUUAUGGAUACAAAAGUAGCGGAGGAGAAGGAGCUCGGCGGAGAGAGAGGAAGGGGGAGGGAGGGGAGGGGAGGCGAGGCAGGAGAGGGGGGACCACCAUCCCCCCCCCCACCCACCCGGCCAGCCGCCCCCACCGCACUCACCAGGGCCCGGCCCGGCCGUGCUCGGGAUGUUCUUGUUUUCCUCUCCCCCGGCGGCCCCCGCCGCCCGCCCCCCCCCCGUGCCGCGCCUCCCGCCCCCCGGCUGUGGGCGCUCCCCUGUCGGGCCCCCCGUUCUGUUGCUCGCCCGCGCGGCGGGCGCGGCCUGCGCUCGCGCGGCUUGGGGCCCCCGCCCUGGGCCCCUCUGGGGCUGCGGUCUGCCGGCGUCGCCGUCGUGGUCGCCGGUCCGCCCUCCCCGGUCGCCGCCGCCACGCUCCCCGCCCCCCCUCGCCGCCGCCCCCCCCCCCGCCGCGCUCCUCCCCCUCCCCGCCGCCCUCGCACUCCCUAUUUCCGGCGUCCGCCCCGCGGUCGCGGGUCGCGUCUCUCCCGCGUGGCGGGGUCNNNNNNNNNNNNNNNNNNNNNNNNNNNNNNNNNNNNNNNNNNNNNNNNNNNNNNNNNNNNNNNNNNNNNNNNNNNNNNNNNNNNNNNNNNNNNNNNNNNNGUCAGGGAUGAUUCUUGUUUAGAUCACACGCGUGUCCCUUGCUUGCAGUAUUCCAUGUUCUGUUUUGUCCAACCGUUGGAUCUUAGAUUCUAUGGCUGUGAUGAGAUCUUGAGAUUCAGAUCUGGACCUCUGGAUUCAUCCAACGGUCCAGAUUAGAUACUGCUGAGCCAAUAUUUUUUAUUCCUUAUUUUUAAUUAUCUUUAUUUUUAAAUACUGUUUUUACACUUUUUUGACAUUUUGUGUCUAAAAAAAAUUCCAAAAAAUAUUUUUUCACCAUUUUAAUUUUCUCUAAUUUUAAAAAUCAAUCCUAUUUGUUUCCUUUUAAUUUAUUUUUUUUUUGUUUAUCUCUUAUAUGAUGAUCUUAAUUAUUAUUUGUCUUAAUUCUUGCUUAUUAUUUCUUAUGUCUCAUUCAUCAUAAUAUUUCUUGUGAUUACUAACUAUUUAAUUUUUGUCUUGAAUCAUAGCAUGCACAUUUAAUUUUCCCAUCAUUUUAUUUUAUCUUUGACUUAGUGUGUAUAAAUAGGAAAUUGAUGUAAUUUUAUUUCUUGCAUUUUUAUUUUGGCAUAAAGGCCUUAGGGUUGUAUUUAGGAAUUGAUGUAAUAAUGUAGGUAACACAAGCACCGACACAUGCACCGACACUACCACAUUUUAUUUACCGCUUUCCGUUAGUUUUUGCGACGUUACGUUAGUUCUCACCGUUAGUUUAAAAAAAAAACCUUUUUAUCAAAAAAAACUAAAUAUGUCAAAUUCAAAAAAUCAUUUUUCUUAGCAACAUUUUCUCUUUAUUUUCUUAAUCAAAUUCUCAAUCAAUCUUAAUUCAACUUCAACCAUUUUUUUUUAAAUUUUAAAAUCAAUCAACCUCACUUGUUUUCUUUAUCUCAUGCCUUGAGGCCUCUUUCUCUUCUUAAAACCCAUUUCCAAAAAAAUCUUAAAAUCAACCUAACCCACCAAAGAAAUUCUUGAGUGGAACUACGUCGGUUUUGAUCCCUUUCCCAAAAGGGUACGUAGGCAGAGGACUUGUUCUUCCAAAUCAAAUAAAAAUAACAAGAAAACAUACUUCUUCUCCCUCCAUUCUUUCACUUAGACAUUAGGCAAUAAUUUUUUCAAAUGAACAAGUAUUUUAGCACAAGAUAAUCUAGGUAAGAGGUUCCUACGGAAUACCGUAGAUUCUUAGGGUGCUAGCACCUUCCCUUCGCAUAACCAACCCCCGAAUCCAAAGUCUCGAAAAGGGUUUUUACUCAUUUUUUCCCUUCCCAAGAAUAAAAAUCGAGAGUUCAAAGAUUGACGAUUCAAAUCAAUUAAUGGUUUGAUAUCCAAAAAUCGCGAGCACAGAAAUGGCGACUUCACUGGGGACCUUGUCCUACGCGGGUUAAACCCACCUAACUUUCUUUAUACUUGUGCUUCAUUAUUUCUUAUGCCUUGUGAAUACAUGUCUAACUGUUAUUGUUUUCACGUGAGGGGUGAGAAAAUGAGCUCUACACCCGAGCUUGAGGGAAAUAUAAGAUAGGAGUGGUAGACUCAUAGUGGCAUACCGAGAGUAUACUCGUGUCUUGGCACAUGUGAGAUAACCACACUUAGCGGAGGAGCUUAAAGUGAUAUAUGUCGGCGUGUUUUCUACGAACGUUUUUGGACCGAGUGUUUUCUCGGUAUCCGAUAAUAUUCGGAAGUGGUCGAGGACUUUGGGAACCUUGGUAGAACCCGUGAUACAGGUACAUUUGAAACCAUAGUCCUUACCAAAUGGCGUUGUUACCCUCGACUCCAACAUGUGGACUUAACAUCACCAUGUAUUCUAUGUACUUUAGCAUAACCAUGCAUACAUGCAUUCAUUCAUAAACAACUUUUUCCAUCAAAAAAUUGAAGGACUUAGACAAGUUUUUUUUUUUUUGCAAACAUCAUGGGUAUGGACUUUGUAAGAAUGAACACCAAGAGAUACAACUUCAAAAAAAUCUUAACUAAACUUUAGCUUUUGUUAAGAACUUUUUCUUUGGUUUCGAUCUUACCUUUUGAAAAAAGAACCUUUUGCAAUAUCUUCAUAAUUUUCAAAUGAAACCAUGUUUCUCUACCAUGUUUAAAAAUUAACUUUGAUAAGUCCUUCAAAAAAAAAAUAAUACAUUUUUGCAUACAUAUAUCAUGCAUCAUUUUUUUUCAUUCAUAGUUUCUAGUUUGUGUCUCAUACUGUAUCUUCUCCAUAAAAGGUCUAUCUGUCGGUCUAAUCGCAUCUACUACACUCGAGCAAAUCAGAAUGGAUCAUAUUGAACAAGAGAACCACAAGCUUCGUGAAGAGGUGACAACCCUCCGGACCGAGAAUGAGAUCUUAAGGAACUUAGUAUCUUUGAUGACGAUGGCACAAAGACAACCAUUAUCUCAUCCUAUUGUCAGCACUCAGGAUCAGACGGUUGCUUCCACUACCCCGAUUUCAACAGUGUUUGCUAGUAGUCCUCAACAUGCUAUGCUUGAAGGUUAUCUAUGGGGCACACCCUUUGGUUCUGGUGAAGUAUUUUGUCCUGAUGACUCUAAGGUUCAAGCUCCUUUUGUGCAACUGACAACGCCUAUCCCUCAACCGGGUCCUUUGUUCCCUCAAGCUGCUAUGAUUCAUACUACUCAGCAAGGCCAUAAACCAAUCUAUCGUUCAGGAAAUGUGGUUGCAUACGACCGGACAGCUGAACUGGAAGAAAGGUUUGACAGAAUACAAUUGGAAUUGAAAACUCUUCGUGGGAAAGAACUGUUUGGGAAAAAUGCUUAUGAUCUUUGCUUGGUUCCCAAUGUCGUGAUACCACCCAAGUUCAAAGUCCCUAAUUUUGAGAAAUACCAAGGAAACAUUUGUCCUGAGCUUCAUUUGGUAAUGUACGUGAGAAAGAUGUCUGCUUAAGUAGGUAAUGAUGAGCUCCUUAUCCACUGUUUCCAAGAUAGUUUGACUGGUGCCGCACUGAUAUGGUAUAUGGGCCUACACAAGGUUGAUAUCAAAACUUUCAAUGAUUUGUGUGAGGCUUUCGUCCAGCGAUAUAACUACAACUUGCAUUUGGCCCCAAACAGAAAGGAACUGCAAGCCAUGACCAUGAAUGAUAAUGAAUCUUUCAAAGCUUAUGCCCAACGGUGGAGAGACGUCGCUGCACAGGUUCGUCCACCUCUAGAAGAGAAAGAAUUACCGAGAUUUUCUUGGAGACUCUGGAUCAGUUCUAUUAUGAGCAUAUGCUUACAAGUGCAUCCGGCAGCUUCGUAAAUAUGAUGACUGUGGGCAUGCGUAUUGAAGAGUGGGUCCGAAAAGGACAAUUGGUCAAAGAAAGUGCUCCCACAGAUGAUUUUGAGUACGAAGAUCAGGAAAUGAGUGUGGUAGAAAGUCAGCCUCAACCACAGUAUCUGGCUUAUCACCCUGCUGCCGCUAUUAUGCCUAUCAUAAAUCCUGUUCAAAACUCGGGUUAUCAACCUCAGUUUUAACCAUAUCAACAACAGUAUCAACAACAACCUCGACAACAGGCUCCAAGAACUCAAAUUGAUCCUAUUCCUAUGAGGUAUGCAGAGUUGUUUCCAAGGUUGCUUGAAAGGAAUUUGAUCCAUACCAAGGCACCUCUCUCGGUGCCGGCAAUUUUGCCAGCAGGAUAUAGGGCUGACCUCUUUUGUGCCUUCCAUCAAGGGGCACCUGGUCACGAUAUUGAAGAAUGUUUUGCAUUUCAGAAGAUAGUUCAGAAAUUGAUUCUAAAAAACCUCAUACCUCUCGAAGAGUUUGAAUUUGAGUGUGUAAGUUAAUCCGAUAUCGGAUUUUGGUAUCUAAGGUUGACACAUGAGAUGUUUUAGCUGCAUUUGGGUCGCUGCUAAUGUUUUAUUUCUACUACUUUUUGUUCAAUUAAUAUGUUUGUUUGUUGCUUUAUGUUUUUCAAAAACAAAAAAAAAAAACCUUUCCUCCCACCUGAGGCGAAAGUGAAUUUGUUUAGGGCUUUUUGCUUUAUGUAUUUUCAUCAUUAGUGAAAGGUCGCUUGAUCCCGACUUUGUUUUAUUUUGUGCUUUUUCUGGAAAAAUGGUAAUACAAAAAACCAAAAAAAAGAAUUUUUUUCUUUAAUCAUUUCCACAUAUCUGCAUAACCAUAAUGUUUAUAUCAAUAAUCAAAUCAUGCAUUAAUAAACCCGUUGAACACUUAAACCCUGUACUCUCGCUUGACUUUGAGUUCCUUGUAUCUGAGGCUGAAGAAGAGGAUGAUGAAGAAGUUUCCACUGAGAUUUCUCGCCUACUAGGGCAUCUUGGCCGUCGUAGCUACAAAUAUCAAGAGAGUUUGUCCAGAAGAGGACUUUCAUGUACAAAGACUGGCACGAGAUGCCACCAUUUGCCUUGCAAGGAUAUUGUACUUCAAGUGAACAUUUCAGCAGGGGCAACCCCCCCUCCAUCCCUCAGUAUACAACAUAAAGACAGUGCCUUACAUGAAGGUCAAAGUCCCGUCAACGGGAGUUCCAAUGAAAGCUAAGCUUGAUGGAACUUAAAAGUGUCACUACCGUAUGGCGUGGACAGUUGUAUCAAAAGCAUGAAGCAAGUUUUCAACAAGAGAAGGCUUGUCCCCAUGAAUGUCAAGAGAGUGGCCUUGUGCUCAAAAGUUAUACUAUCUGAUUUAACCAAGUUCCAGGGGCAAUGAAUGCCUAACACAAAGAAUGAGGGUAAACUGGUAUGUCCUAUGAAUACCGAUGCAGUCAAGAAAUACUUUGUUAAAAUGAAAAAGCUCGAUAAGUCGCAAAUCUGAAAAGGCGGCUUAGGCAAAAAAGAGCAUCUCGAUGGACUGAAAACCCAAAAGGGCGGUCCAUGCAAAAGUUAGCGACAUAUAAAAAAAAAAAUGAAAAAUGAUUAUCCUGAUAGGUUGAAACCCGCAAGGGCGAUCUAUGCAAAAGUUAAGGAUCAUGACAAAGUAACUGCAUCUGGUCGGACAUGACUCAUCUGUGGCAUUCCAGCCGUUAAAAGACCUUCGACUCAUGGCAAGAUAAUUGCAUCAAAUCAUAUAUGAUUCAUCUGGGGCAUCUUAGCUGUCAAAAGGCUUCCGAUCUGAAACAUCUGCAAACCAAAGACUCAGAACAGUGAAAUUCAAAGUUGGUAGGGAGAACAGUGGUUAUUGUGUUCAAUAUACAUUUCCCAUAUAAUUACCAUUUUCCAAACUUUUUUUUAAUCCGUGGAGCCACGCCUUUCCCUGGCUACCACUCCAUUUUAUUAAUGUGAACCAAUGCCCAUUUAUUUGAAAUUCUCAUUUAGUCUAUUUUGCAAAUUUUCUUCUAUUUUUGAUGUUAAUAUGUAAAGCAAAAAAAAAAUCUUUUAAAACUUUUUUCAUGUCUUUUGAAAAGCAUAAACAAGUACAUUUUCUUUGAACUUAUGAGUAAGUGAAACAUACAUCAACAUACGUUUCAAGUACAGUUAAAACUCUGCAAGAUAAGCAUGAUCAAAAACUGUAAGAUGACCUCUGUAAAAAAAAAAAAAAAAAAAAAAAACACAAAAAAAGAAAGGCUCGCUAAGUCGAAAACCCGAAAGGGCGGCUUAAGCCAAAAACGAGCGUCCCGGUGGAUUGAAAACCCGAAAAGGCAGUCCAGGCAAAAAUUAGGGGCAUACAAAAAAAGACAAUAUUCCCGGUGGAUCGAAAACCCAAAAGGGCGGUCCAGGCAAAAGUUAGGGAUUUUCAAAAAAAAAAACAAUAUAUACAAAAAAAAAUGAAAUGAAAAAAAUGGAAAAGACAGAGGCAUCACAGUUCCAACGGGCCAAACAGAAGAAUACACCUUGAGCUUGGUUUACAAAUGGCGACUUCGGCCGGUGGUUUGAUUAACUGUGACUUCUACCUCUGGUUUGAUUAAUGGCGACUUCUGCCAAAACAUGGGUUGAUAUCCUUCUAGUGGUUUGAUGAAUGGCGACUUCUACCUGCGGUUUGAUAAAUGGGUUUACCCUUUCAGUGGUUUGUUUAACAUGCAUUACUCCCAAGAAAGGGCGAUUUCUGCCAGUUGUUUGAUUAAAGAGCUUUUACCUCUUCAGUGUAUUGAUUAUUGAGCUUCCUCUCAUCAGUGAUUGGAUAUCGAGCUUUACCCCGUCAGUGAUUUGAUUCAUCUCCAGUAAUACUAUCCCCAAUGAAGAUUGUCGAGUGUUUGUACUGCGAUGUCAGUCCGCCUUCCAUCUUACUUGUCUAGUCUUGUCAGCUUCACUUGUUGUAUAGAGUCGUCUAAAUCAUACAUUCAUACAGACAUAUAUUCAUGUACUCAUACAUUCAUUCAUUUCAUAUAUACAUAAUCAUGCAUAUAAACAUUCUUGCACAUAUAACUUGCAUACAAAUACCAUUUAUACUUUAUCGCAUUAAUUGCCUUGUGUCUUAUUUCAUCUGUAUUUCACAAAACUGUCGUCUCCAAUAUGUCUGACCCAGAAAGGUCACAUGUAGUCUUGUUUGGUCAUAUUCCUUCAGUUCGGUCUGGACUUACCUUUCGGACCAGGUUAAUCCCCUGCCAAUGUCUUUUAUACCUUUUGGACCAGGUUAAUACCCUGCAAAUACCUUUCAUGUCUUUUGUACCAGGUUAAUACCCUGCCAAUACCUUUCGUACCUCUUGGACCAGGUUAAUCCCCUGCCAAUGUCUUUUGUACCUUUUGGACCAGGUUAAUCACCUGCCAAUAUCAUUUCUACCUUUUGGACCAGGUUAAUACCCUGCCAAUACCUUUGAAUACCUUUUGGACCAGGUUAAUCACCUGCCAAUAUCAUUUCUACCUUUUGGAUCAGGUUAAUACCCUGCCAAUACCUUUCGUACCUCUUGGACCAGGUUAAUCCCCUGCCAAUGUCUUUUGUACCUUUUGGACCAGGUUAAUCACCUGCCAAUAUCAUUUCUACCUUUUGGAUCAGGUUAAUACCCUGCCAAUACCUUUCGUACCUCUUGGACCAGGUUAAUCCCCUGCCAAUGUCUUUUGUACCUUUUGGACCAGGUUAAUACCCUGCCAAUACCUUUGAAUACCUUUUGGACCAGGUUAAUCACCUGCCAAUAUCAUUUAUACCUUUUGGACCAGGUUAAUACCCUGCCAAUACCUUUCAUGUCUUUUGUACCAGGUUAAUCCCCUGCCAAUACCUUUCAUACCUUUUGGACCAGGUUAAUACCCUGCAAAUACCUUUGAAUACCUUCGGACCAGGUUAAUCACCUGCCAAUAUCAUUUAUACCUUCGGACCAGGUUAAUCCCCUAUCUUUUAUACCAAUCAUGUCUUUACUUUUGCCACCCGUCGGCUAAUCAUGUCUUUACUUUCGCCACUCGUCGGCUAAUCAUGUCUUUACUUUCGCCACUCGUUGGUUAAUCAUGUCUUUACUUUCACCACUUGUCGGCUAAUCAUGUUGUUAUUUUCGUCACUCAUCGUCUAAUCAUGUCCCUACCUUUACCUUGAAGCAAUGUUAACGAACAUCAAUCAUAAACAUUACUUAUCAUUUCUUUCCCCAGUGAUAUCUGUCCAAUUGUCCCCAGUCAGUCUUUAUGCAUCAUCUUUACAUUCAUACUUACAUCAUAUUUAGUCGUAUUGUCACAUUCAUCAGCAUCACACCUCUGGCGUUUCAAAUGGUCCAAAAUUGGCGUUUUUAUAUAUUUAAGUCUCUCCGACCCUUUGGUUUAAAAAGUUCUCUUUUAAAACCUUUGUGACGAAGAAACUUAAAUAGGGGCAUCUGUCAUACCCCAAUUUUGGACCGUUUAAAAUCUCUUGUCCGUAUUUUAAAAUUGUUCACGUUCCCAUUUAUUCGUUGUUUUUUACCAUUUAAAGUUCGUGUUUCUUGUCUUUAGUUAUUCAAAAAAGUUUUAUUUUUACGUUAAAUCAACGUUUGCAUUUCACAACGAUUAAAACCGUCUCACUUUCAUUUUUAUGACGCAUUUUUGUUAUAUAGUCUUUUUAGCCGUAACGAUCAUGUCUAAAAAAAGAAGGCCUAAUCGCAUUUUAAAAGACGUUUUUUAUUAAUCAUUUCAAUCAAAAUUUCGGCAGGGAGGAUACUUUGAAGUACCUCAUGUCAGAUUUCGAAGGGACUUUUUUUUUUUUUUUUUUUUUUUUUUUAGGUUAGUUUGUUUAUUAUUAUUUUAUUUUUAUUAUUAUUUAGGAAAAAAAAAACAAAGAAGUGAAAGUCACGUGAAUGACUUCCUUCCUUUUAUUUUCUUUUCUUUUUUUUUAUUAUUUAUUUAUUUUAUUCAUUUUUGUUUUUAUUUUAUUUAUUUAUUUAUUUAUUUGUUAAAAUCUUUUUCUCCAAGUCUCAGCUGCAGGGGCAUUUUGGUCAUUGACUUGUACCAGAGCCAACCCUAGUUUGUCACUAUAAAAACACUGUCAAUCAUUGGGAAAUGGGUCAGAGAAAAAUCACUGUAGCUGCGUCAGAGUCAAAUCAGUCCCUCAACCCACACAAACCCUAAUUUCCUUUCUCUCAUACAUUUUUUUCGGAUCAAAAAAACAGGAUUUCCAGAUAAAGAAGAAAGAAAAGGCUCAACAACAUUCAAUAUCAAAACANNNNNNNNNNNNNNNNNNNNNNNNNNNNNNNNNNNNNNNNNNNNNNNNNNNNNNNNNNNNNNNNNNNNNNNNNNNNNNNNNNNNNNNNNNNNNNNNNNNNAAGUGGAUACCUAUUCUUGAUAGUUACCUUGUUCAACUGCCGAUAAUCAAUACACAACCGCAUACUACCAUCUUUCUUCUUUACUAGCAAAACCGGCGCUCCCCAAGGUGAAACACUUGGUCUAACAAACUUCUUCUCAAGCAAGUCUUCUAACUGUUUCUUCAACUCAGAUAAUUCUGAAGCAGACAUACGAUAAGGUGCCAUCGAGACCGGCUUCGUUCCAGGAACAAGAUCAAUAGAAAACUCGACUUCUCUCUCCGGAGGCACAUCAGGAAUCUCAUCUGGAAAAACUUCAGGAAAAUCACACACCACCGGUAGCCUAUCAAUCACUGCUUGAUUCUCAACAGAUAAAGAAGCCAUCAAGGAAAACAUCAAGAUACCAUCGCGUUCCAGUUGCUUCAGCUGCUUAGUAGAUAAAAACUCUGCACCACUUUCCUCUUCGACGGAAGAGAAAUGUACUGACUUGCUAAAACAAUUAAUAAGAACGUGAUUGUACUCUAACCAGUUCAUACCCAAAAUCACAUCCAUACCACUCAAAGGUAGACAAACUAAAUCCAUUUCAAAAUCACGACCAAACAUAGACAAAGGACAUUUCAAAAAUACGAGAGAAGUAGUCACCGAACCCUUAGCUGGAGUUUCGACAACCAUCUCUCCAUUCAUAUCAGACAACUCAAGACCCAAAGCAGAAACACAAUUGAAAGCAAUAAAGCAAUGCGUAGCACCAGUAUCAAUAAUAGCAACUAAAGGAGUAUUAUUAAUAUAGCAAGUACCUCUGAUCAAACGAUCCUCAUUUUCUGUCUGAGUCCCAGUCAAAGCAAAGACCCUACCAGUAGUCGGCGCCCUCUUCGGCUGAGUACACUGAGAACUAAUGUGACCUUCUCCAUUGCAAUUAAAGCACACAAUGUCUGUACGAUUGCAAUCAGCUACUACAUGACCUUUCUUGCCACACCGGGCACACUUCUUGAUUUCCUCGGAACAGGCGUUGCUCUUGUGGCCUUUCUCACCACAAUUGAAGCACACAAUCUCUGCAGCAUCCUUCUUCUUAGGCCGCCUAACAUCGACCAUCUUCUGUUUACCUUUGUCAGCGGGGGCACUGUACGGCUUAGGACGACUCUGCUGUCCCUUACCCUUCCUUUCAUUCACUACCUUGUAGUGAGCCUUCGUAUCCUCUUCAUAGAUCCUGCAGCUAUUAACCAAGUCCUGAAAAACUCUCAGCUGUUGGUACCCAAGCGCCCUCUUGAUGUCGGGCCUCAAACCGUUCUCGAACUUGAUACAUCUCGAGAACUCAGAAUUCUCUGCAGUAUAGUGCGGAUAGAACUUAGACAGCUCCACGAACUUGGCAGCAUACUCUGUCACGGACAUGUUUCCUUGCUUCAACUCAAGGAACUCGAUCUCCUUCUUCCCGCAAACAUCUUCCGGAAAGUAUCUUCUCAGGAACUCCCUCCUGAAAACAGCCCAAGUCACAACAGCUCCCUCCUGCUCAAGGGUAGGUAGAAUAGCAACCCACCAGUCAUCAGCUUCCUCGGCCAGCUGAUGAGUACCAAACCGAACUUUCUGAUCUUCCGUGCACUGCAUAACCCGGAAAAUCCUCUCUAUCUCUUUAAGCCACGUCUGGGCUCCAUCAGGGUCAUAACGUCCUUUGAAAGUCGGAGGGUUCUUCUUCAUGAACGUCUCCAACAUCCUAGCUUCAGCAUUCGCACCAGCAUUCACGUUAGGUUGUUGUCCCACAGCUUGGGCAACAGCUUGUAGAGCAGCAGCUAACGCAGCAUCGUUCCUUCCAGCCAUUCUGAUAUUCUACAAAAGUAGCAACAACAGUAUAAGAUAGUAAUAUAAUAUUACUAAGGCUCGACACAACUCUCUAAUUGACCGGACGGACCGACCUGCUCUGAUACCAAUUGUAACACCCCGUUUUCCCAAUAUACAAAUUUCGUAAACAAUUAUCAGAGUAAAAUCCAUAAACGGGAUAUCACAUAGAAACGUAAUCCAAAAACAGUUAAAUAAUAAUUUAACCUUCACAAAUAUCUUUAACAUAGCAGCGGAAUACUAAUUCAAAAAUCAUAAACCAGUUUUGGCACGCAGGCCUCGUCAUAAUUCUUAAAAGAAAACAGUUCAUAUUCAUAAAUAGCAUGAAAGUCACGUAAUAGAAUGAAGCAUGCAUAAUUCAUAAAGCCCCAUCCCGUUACGUAUCAGAGCGACCUAGAAGACACAGUGAAGGCAAGGCCACUCACGACGGAAACAGCACACUAAGCUCGAUCACCUGCACGUUACCCACGGUCGAGGUAACAUUCAAACAGAAGGGGUGAGAUUUCAUAACAGAAUAACAUUAAAUAAUGCAAUUAAGAAUUAUAAGUUAACAUCAUAGUCAUUUCAUUAAUUAGCUUUGCAUAAUUGCUAAACUAUUAACACGUAAUCGUAUAUCCAUUAAUUAGGGAUAACAUAACAUAAUCAAUAAACACAUAUCACGGAAUCACAUAUUCAAUCAUUAUCAACAAGGCAUCUUAAUCAUGACAAUGUGACAAUGCUCCUAGACUCCAUAUAUGCAUGUGGUACCAAUCGUCAUCAUAAGUAUUAAUAUACUUUAAUCGUGCGGAGGACAAAGCUCCUAUAAAACGUGCGGAGGACAAAGCUCCUAAUAUUCGUGGUGAGGACUAAGCUCAAUGAUAUGCUAUGCAUGGACUCUUAACAACAAAACAUCGUAUUCAUCGUAAUCGUAUGCAUUCAAUAACUUGAAGCGAAACGUCAUCAUUUCUUUAAUUCAAAAAUAAACAUUGCAUACUCAGUUAAAUAACAGCAGCAGCAUAAUUCAAGUCACAUAACAGCAGGGGAUAUAAACAUAUCAACAUUAAUUCAAUAGAAUCAUAAUCGUUUCAUUAUAUCUUACAUAUUGCAUAAUACUUAAAUCAUGCUCAAUUAACAUCAAUGUAUCUUAAUAGCUUUACAAACUGCAUUAAACGUUAUCUUAGGGUUUCAUUACCAACUAGGGGUUCACUCUUGAUCAAAAGGUGCGACACAGAUCGCACAAACACACAAAACACUACAUUCUGGACUUGCUCGCGAGGCGAGAGUUCUUACUCGCCAUGGCGAGUACCACUCAAACUCCCAACUAAUGUUGUUCUGGGUUCAAUCCUGUCCUAAAAUCAUUCCUAAUCAUCUCUAGGUAUGUUUAGGCACUUAAAGGCACUCAAGGUCCAACUAAAAAGUCAAAAAUACAAAAUAUGACAUGCACUCUGCCUAAGCUCGCGAGGCGAGGAGGGGUUGCUCGCCAUGGCGAGUUGCACCAGACAACUCGCGAGGCGAAGGAAAGGGGCUCGCGAGGCGAGCGAUGAAGAUCAUCACUCGCGAGGCGAGGAUCAUCACUCGCCGUGGCGAGCGAUGAACAGGAGCACGGGCAGACUAGGGUUUUUCUCAAAAAUCCAUCCUACAACAUGUUUCAAAGCUUGGUUUUGAUUCCAGAAUUCAUCCUAAACAUAUUCUAAGGUUAAAGGACGGUUCUUUCAUCAAUCUAAACAAGUUUUACCGUUUAUUCUCAAAUUUUAGGGUUUUGACCUAAUUCCAAAACUUCUCUAAAUCAAUCCUAACUUUGUCAACUAAUCAUCAGAAUUACAGAGGUUAAUGCUACUGAGUUAUUAGUCCCACCCUUACCUUGUAUGAAGAAAAAUCGCAGCCCUCUUGGUCUCUUGUUCCUCUCUAAGCUUUUCUCCCUUUUUCCAAAAGUUUUCACGUACAAUCAGUUUUUCUAAAACUAGGUCUAGCCUUUUUAUAUCCUCUCUCAAUUACUUAUCUUAUUUCACUUUCUCCCCCAAAACUAUCUAAAAUAUCAAAACAGCCCUCAACUAAAUAUUUUUCAAAUCUUUAUUUUAUUUAACAAUAAAAUAAAUUCUCUAAUCUUAUCAAAUCCUCCAAAACUCAUAACUUAUCACGUUAUCAAUCAAAUCAUCAAAACAUAUCAAAAUCAUGCACAUAUUAUAUAAUUAUAAUAUAAUCGCCUAAACUUGAUUAAAUAAUGAUUAAACGAAAGUGGGCGUUACAUCUUUGCCUAAUGUGAUGAGUUGUUUCGUUAGUUUUUGAGUGUCAUUUGUUUAAUUUUUAUCUUAAAUUUUAGUUUUUGAAUGUCAUUCGCUUUCAUGAAGAAGAAGAAAAAUUCAACCUUUAUCAUUUAAAAUUCCUUUACUUUUGUUAUUUCAUGGGAUCUUGCAAUAGAAAAAUGUAGAUGUAUUUUGAUGAGUUGACAAAAUACAUAUUUAUUGGGCAUUUUAAAUAGAUGUACAUAUUUUAAUAAGUCUAAUAUUUUGGUAGCAAACUUUUUCAAAAAAUCCAUAAAAUCGCCAUCAAUUCAUUAUGUUUCCUAUACUCUCACGAAUACACCAGAAAGUUUAUCAGUAAUACAUAAUUUAAUUUCUCCACUCUCAUUGGCAGAUCCAAUUUCAUCUCUUCUACGAACACAUAUAAGUAACAUGUAUACUAUGACCCUAGAAUUUUUUUUUGUCAAAGUGAUAAUAGAUUAGAGCCUCUUAAGCAUAUGGAUAGUAGUUCAAUUUCUGUCUCAUGCGUAUUGAAAAUAUUUGGAUGAGAUGAGAGAACUCACCUUAUGUGUCCUGCAGAUUUUCGAACCAAGAUUAGUCAUUGCUAAACGGUGGUGUAAACUCCUACCAAUUUCAUAAUAACUCGAUAAAAUAUCAAAUAUAAAGUUAGUUAGCAAACUUAAUUGAUACAUUUAAUUAGUAUAUCUAAAAAAACAUUAAAAAUCAAUAUUUAUUAAUAAUGAUAAUAAUAAUAACAAUAAUAUUUGAAAAUUGAUAAUUUCAGCAAGCAUUUAUUUUGUAUUACUUUCAACCGAGAUUUUUCAUUGAUAAGUUAAUCAAUUGUUAGAGCAUCCAUAACGGUCCUCUCCGUUUGAUUGUUUAAAUGAGUCUCGUAUGUAAAUGUCACUUGUUGUUAUAUAAUUAAUAUUUAAUAAGAUUUAAUCUCUCAAACUCUAGAGGUAUUUUACCAGAUUAACUUAAGGAUUUUCUCUGAGUUUGUUUCUUUUCUUUUCCUCAUCUUCUUUUGUUAUUGUUACCUUUCAUUCGUACGUUUAGAGCGUGAUACAACUGGUUCAUAAUUGAACCCCAUUUUGACUAAAAAAAAUAAAAUAUCUCUCAAACUCAACCCUUCAAAAAUAUAUCAAAUGGGCCUUAGUAAUAAAUAUGUAUCAGUAAACUUUGACAGUAGUGUAUUUAUUCAUUCAUAAUUAUCUAAUAUUUGAAAUAUUAAAUCAGUUCAAUUAUAAAUUUAAAAAAAAAAGUAUAUUUUUUCAAUCCUUUUAAUAAUUCAAAAAAAUAACUAAAAUUCGAAAAGACAAAAAAAAAAUGAUUGGAAAUUACACGGUUUAAGUAACAACUUUGCAUAUGGUCGAAAUCAUAGUAAAGAAACAAAAAUGUACUUUGAUUGACAAUGACGGAAUUUACAACGAAGUGAUCAUGUGUAACACACAAAUAGUAGGAGAGCGAGGGUGGUCUAUAAAAAUACGAUUCUAAAUAGAAGAAAGAUCCUAUUGUAGAUGGUCUUAACCACCCUUGAGUGAGAAAAUAAUUAUUUCAUGCUAUUAUUUAUAAGAUCAUCAUGAGAAAUAAAAUCAAUCAUGUAAUAAAUUAAUAUUCAACAGCGUUUCAAAAAGUAGUAAGAAUUUAUUUAUAUAAACAGAAAAUCAAAACAAACUGAGUCAUGCUAUGAUGAUGAAAUCACAAAAACAAACGAAAGAAAAAUUAAAAUAUAAGGAAAGGUCUUAUUUAACUUAAAGGGAAAGUUUUUUUUUUUUUUUGAAGGGGUGAUUUAAGGGCAAAAUUGACCCCAGAAACUAACAUUUUUCCCUUCCCUCUAUAAAUUUACAAACAACUAAUAUUUGCUUAAAAAAAAUAAAGAACCCAACACAAAGACGAAAUAAAUAAGUGGAACAAAACUUUCUCUCAAAAUAGAUUGUUAUGAAUUAUCGACUAAUUAAUUUUUGUAAAGUCUGUUUAGAAGAUUAAUAAUUUUAACUUUGAGUAAAAAAAAACACGAAAGUGAUUUAAGUAAUUUAAUCUAAAAUAAAUGGAAAUGAGAUAGAAAAUUAUCUGACAAACAACAGGGUUUGUUGAUUUAUAUAUCUAUAUAUAUCAUUUUGUUUGGAUUAUUUAUAGAGGAUUUUGAAAUUUUUACUAUGUAUAUAAACUUUUUAGUUAAUGUCCUCGUGAGCAAAGUUCAGUUGGUAUGGACAAUGCAUAAUAUAUGCAAGGUCCGGAUUCUGCACUUCAUUGAUUUUUUUUUCUCUAUUUAUCUCUUCCUCUCAAUAGUUUUUCGUACUAUUUGUUAUAUUCUUCUUCCCAAUGUUUUUCAUACUAUUUCUUAUUAUGUGGUUGUUUGACACCAAUAACGAAAAAUGUAGACAAACAUGUGUACUAAUCGAAUAAGAUAAUUGGUUUUGGAGACACUGGAAAAAAUUAGAGUAGUAAGUUUUUGUUUUUUUUUUUUGACAAAUAGUGAGUAUUGUUGAAAACCCAAAAAUAAAUAAAAUUGAAAAGAAUUUUGAAAUCUUUAGUUCAAUAUCGGAAUUGUAAGAAGAAUGGUGAAAUUAGAAUUAAUAUCUAUAGAAAAAAUUCAAGCAAAUCACUAAAUUAACGUAUAGAUCCAAAAUUUGCUGCAAAAAUAAUUUAUAAUAUAUAUUAUAAUUAUAAAAAAAAUUACAUCAUAUGAAAAGGAAAAAAAAAGUAUAAAGUUGUUUUUAAAAACACAUGAGUAAAUAAAAAACAUAUGAGUAAUUUAUUUUAUACUUAUCACAAAUAUUUUUAUUUUUUUUCACAAAUAAUAUGAACUUAAAUAAUGUUUUUUUAUGUACUAUUAAUUCAAUCAUUCCUUAUAUAUAAAUAAAAACCUUUUUCUUUAACCCUUCUUAUCACCAUUGUUUUUUUUUUUUUUUGCUUCUACAAAUAAUAUGAACCUUUUUAUAGAAACAAAUAAUAUGAACUUAAUCAAUGCUUUUUAUACACCACCACAUCAUUCCUUAUAGAGAAAACGAAAAAGUUUUGCUUUGUAUUUGACCUUUAAAUGUUGUUUCCUAUCUUGAAUAUAGACAUCGAUUUUACUAAUGUUUGCUUCCUUAUUAAAUUAUAACAGCUAUGUGUUAUCAUUUAAAAAAAAUGUCGGUACAUGUUAUAUUUGUUUUUUAUCUCUUAUUUGCAUAUCUUGUGCCUAGUUUAGAUGCUAUUAAUAUUUUUAUUUUUUGAUUUUAUAGAGAGAAAACACCUUAAAGCGACGUUAAUGAGUCAAGUGUGAGUUUACGUUCUACAUUGAAUUGAAUAGUAGAUUUUGAAUAGAAAAUAAGUGUGAUGACUCAUAUAACCAAGGUCUUUAGAUUUUGUGUAAUGAUGUGGUGUCAAUCUCACUUAUAUGGUCGGUAUUGGCCUAAUACGAUGAUCUAACUCAGUGCAGGCUCACUCGCAAAUCCCAACGUUACGAUAAACUUUUUUUUUUAUUUUUGAAUGUCAUUUGUUUAAUUUUUUAUCUUAAAAUUUAGUUAUUGGAUGUCAUUUUCUUUCAUUAUAUAUUUUUUAUACAAUCUAUAUUACUUCAAAUUCCUUCAUUUUUUGUUUUUGAUGGGAUUUAUUGAAAAUUACAUGUGUUAUGUUGAGUUGAAAACAUAUAUGAUUAUUACAAAUUCAAAAAUAAUGUGGCAUUUUUUUAUUUACUCUAAUUUUUUUGCAAAACAUUUAAACAAAAAUUUAUAACUCCUUCAAUUAACCCAUAAAAUUAUCAAUAACUCACUCUAUUAUCUAAACAGCCAAACAAAGCAUACACUCUUUGUAGGCACUAAAAAUAAAAUAAAAUAAGACUUAAAUCCACUUUUAAUCUCCCUAUUUGUUUUAAAAGAAAAUGAUUUUUUAGUCCAUCUAUUUUUACCACCAUUAUUUGUCCCCUAUUUGUACUUUUUUCUAAAGUUUCAUCCUCAUCACAUUUUAGGCUAAUUUGUUCUGAUGUGCCUAUUCAUAAUGACGUGAAAGAACUUAUAUCAAUGUGAAUUAUAUGUGUAGAUCAUUUUAAUGUAACAAUGUUUAUUUUGAAUAUUAAUGUAGAAAGUUUUAUAGUAUCAGCUCAUCACAAUUAAUCAUGUUUGUGACUUUGAAUAUGGUUAAGAUAAAAUCAAAUGUUUGAAUUGAUCUAAAAGUUGUGAUUGUUAAUGAGAAUAUAAUUAAUCAAAUCCAAUAGAAUUAAUAGGACUCUAUUUUUUACUCUUAGCUUAUACGUCACGUUUUCGUGAUCGAAAACCCCCCUUGUUUUUUACUUGAUUGAAAAAUAUUUGUUUUUGAGUCGUAUGUUUGGAUCAAUAUAAUAUGGACAUCUAGAAAAUGAUCUAAAAGAAACCCCGAUGCAAUAUUUUUAUUUUAAGGAAAAUGCAAUAUUUUAUUAAAGUUUGCUAAAUAUAAUAAGAGUCAACUUUACACUUGUUCCAUAUUAGACACGUUAACUUUUUAUAUAUAUUUGAGUGCUUAAUGCUCUUGAAGUUUUUCUUUAAACAAUCAAUUUAAAGUUCUUUCACAAACAAAUGUCAUUUUAUAACCUUUUUUUAAUGUGCUACCAGGGGAAAAAUGAUUGUGUGGCAUAUAACUUAUAAUUUAUGACAUAUAAUUAACAAUUAAAAUUGAAAUAUUCAAUUUUAAUCCCUCAAAAAAAAAAAUUGAAAUACAAUUGAAAUCUUCAUUAUAAUUUUGAAUGUUCACCAUAUAUAUGUGAAGUUUUUUCUAUGCGAAAAUUUAUUUGACUCUUAAAUGAUUAUUAAUGUUUAUCAAGUAGAAAUUUAAUGACAUUCAUUUUUUUUUAAUGUGCUACCACAUGAACAAUUAUUGUGAAUGAAAAUUUUAUGGCAUAUAACUUAUAAUUUAUGACGUAUAAUUAAUUAUUAAAGUUGCAAUGCAAUUGAAAUGUUUAUUAUAAUUUUGAAAGUUCACCAUAUAUAUAUGUGAAGUUUUUUUCUCUGCGGAAAUUUAUUUGACUUUGAAAUGAUUAUUAAUGUUCAUCAAAUAGAAAUUUAAUGACAUUCAUUAUGUAAUUAUUAGUUAAGGAGUGUUUACGUUCUUAUUUUGCUAAUUUUUUUUUUAACUUUUCUAAUAAUGACAUGUUCCAGUAUAUUCCUUUCUAAAUAUCCUUUCAGACACUUUUGUUAGUCUAAUAGUAUAUGCUCGUGAGAUUGAUCUCAUUGAAUUAAUCGGUCCUUGAACUGAAUAUAGAGUUUAAAAAAAACCAUUUUAAACACUUUCCUCGUUUGAUUUAUAGAUAUUAUUGAAAAAACUUAAGAUACUUUUUAGUUUACAAACAUAAGUUAUUUUUUAUUUGUUUACUACAGUGAAUACAACAUAAUAUUCAAAUGAGUUUUAAGAUAAAUUACUCAAAACAACUUUAUAUUUUGGGGCAUAUAAUGUAAACAUGUUUAUUUUGAAUGUUAGUGUAGAAAUUUUAUAGUAUCAGCUCAUCAAAAUCAAUCAUGUUUGUGACUUUGAAUGUGGUUAAGAUAAAAUCAAAUGUUUGAAUUGAUCUAAAAGUUGUGAUUAUUAUUGAAAAUAUAAUUAUUCAAAUCCAAUAGAAUUUUAGGAGUCAAUUUUUACUCUUAACUUAUACGACAUGUUUGCUAAAAAUAAUAAGAGUAACCUUUACACUUGUUCCAUAUUAUUAGACACCCCUUACCUUCGCAUAUAUAAAUUUUAAGUCAUUUAUUUUUACAUUUUCUUUUUUCAAACCUAACAUGUAAACAUUUUGUUUUUACAAAAAAUGUUGUAACAAACGGGUCUUUUUUACGAAAUAAGUCCUUGAUAGGUAUUAAGUUAAUUUUUUUUAAUGAACCAUAUGUUUGGUUUUUUUAACUAAAACAAUUUUUUAUCCUAGAGGAAAUUAACAUGGGAGACAAUUUACAUGAAAUCAUAGGGUUGCUCUUGUUGAUAUUAAAUUAAAUACUAAUUAAAAGAAAUUUUCUAAUAUACAUGUUCUUGAGGACUUUAUAAGCCUUAUUUGAACAGUUUUUUUUCUCAUUUAUAUUCAUUCAUGAAUUUUCAUUGAUAUUUAAUCAUUUCUUUAAUUUAAUUAUAUGUUUUAUUUGACAAUAUAAUAUUUCUCUUUCAAGCAAGAGAAGUCAAACACGAAAGUUGAUUCAUUUUUAAAAACACCGGAAAUAGAACAUGUACAUGAUAUAUUAUUCAUGUAGAUUUCUUUAACAAUUAUUAGUUAUAGUGCUUGAUUAAAAUGGAAUCAGAAUCGUGAACUUAUAUGUAUUCCACAAUAAUAAAAACAAAAGAGAAAGAUGUGAGAAGAGUUGAUCAAAUUACUAUUCAUGUUUUUAAGUUUGAAUAUAAAAUAAUAUAUAUUAAAACAAAAAUAAAUAAAAUGAAUAUAACUAAAAUGACCACAUUGAAGUAAAUAGCCAUGAUAUCAAUAUGAAACAUGUUUUUUUUUUUUUUUUCGCGAUUAAGAUAUAUAUUCAUACAUUAGAACCGUAUUCAUUGAACAGAUAACUGAGUUAUCGUUUACAUCACAAACGAACCAAACAAAAAGGAACCAAAUACAUGCAAUUCAUUAGAACCAUGAUUCUUUUACUGAAUUGAUUUCAAACAUGUUAUCAGAAAUUGCAUGAAAGAAGUGAGGAGAUGAAAAUGAUGCAAGUUUCAUCAACUAUAUAUAGGGGGGAAACCAACAAAUUACCUUUGAAUCCCAAACCGUCAUUAAAUAAUAUGAUGAUGAAAAAAAUGUCACAUAUUAGAAUUCAAUUGGCUUAGAAAUCUCAUUGACACGUGUUAUGAUCUAAUUGGUUUCAUGACAUGAUUGAAACAUAUAGAAAAGAGGGAGGAAAAGAAAUAUGUUAAUUUUUUUUUUUUUUACAAAAGAAAUAUGUUCAUUUGUGAGGUUUAAUUUUAAACAAAUCAAAAAAGUUAGUGCAAGUUAAUUACAUUUACACACCAUAAAAUAAUUCCUUUUUAAGUGUAAAUUAUUUUUAAUAUAGAUAAAAUGACUAUUGAUUCUAUGCAAGAUAAAUAUUUAUAUGAUAUACAUUAUAAUUACAAUUAUUUUUAUAAUUGAUGCAAUAUGAUUGGUUCAACAAAAUAAUAUUUUCACAGUCUAGAAGUCCUAGCUCAACUGGCAAAUGCCGAAAUUGUAAGGCCGGACGUCAUGAUCCGGGUUCGAACCCGGGACCUCACAAUUGUGUGUGAGUUUAGUUUCAGUGGUUUACCACUUCAUCUAAGACAAAAAAAAAAAAAAAAAUAUCGACACAUGUUAAUAUAUUAUUGAAAGAAUUUGUUCAAAUGACGUGAAUCAAAUAUUAUUUAGAGUACAAAGAUGAUGCAUUCUAAUUUUUUUUUCUUUGAUUUUUAGUAAAAGUAAAAUUUGAAGUUCCAAUUAAAAAUAAAAAAUAAGACGUAUCAAUACAAAAAUGAUGCAAUAACAAAACAAUAAAUUUUAAAUUUGAUUUUCAGUCCAUAGAAUUUUUACAUGAUUAAUCACAAUAAUUAUUUAAAAAAAAUCAAAAAUUGAUUACCAUUUGGUUGCCAAAUUUGUAGAUUCAAUCACGGUUGUCAAAAUAAGUAUCUUCCAAUUAUCAAAUUUUUCGUUUACCAAAAUUCAUGUCAUUUUAUAGUUUAAAUAAAAAAAACAUUAAAUACACCUUAGAAUUCUAGCAUAUUACAUUUUGUUGUGUAAAUCAAAUAAAACAUUAAAUGUACCUAACAAUAUAAGCAUGUCAUGUGUACUUUUCAAAAAAAAUAGUGCAAAUAUAUAUAAUAAAGAUUCUUAUAUCAAUUAACUUUUCUUUGAUUCUAUACAUAUAUAAGCUCUUGAUACAUAAAUGAAUAGUAACGUAUCCACAAAUAUAUAAUGGUAUACCCAUAAGGUUAGGAAAAAACCAAUACAUCUAAUAUUUAGUUUCAUAACACAUCAAAAGAUUAUGGCAUAUCAAAGUAUAAGAAUAUGAUAGCUAAUUUCACCCCAAUGCUUGGUAAAAGGAGAGAAACCCUUUGCUUCAAAAUCCCAUUAAAAAAAAAAAAACUUCUCCAUACAUUGCUGAGUAUAUUUUGAUACUUUUAAAAGCUUGCAUUAAAUCAAGGAUAUUAGCAUAAUUCUGAACUAGAGACGGAAGAAACGAUGUGGUGGAAAGUGCCUGCAAAUUUAGCCGAUUUAUAGGACAAUUAGAGAUGUAGUUUUGUUAAGUCAACUUUUUUGUAGUAAUUAAAUUUUAAUGAAAAUGAAUAUGCAUUAAAAUCACAUCAUGUGACAAUUUCAAGUCAACACAAUUCUCUCUCAAUAAUAUUCUGCUACACAAUUUUAUAAUAAUUUUUACUAAAAUUUUGCUGCACUUUUUUUCUUUAGAGUCAUUUUCACCAAUAUUUGACUACGCGUUUUUCUAAUAUUUUUCUACAUGUUUUUUGUCAGUCAUUUUCACUAAUAAUUAGAUUCAUUCUAAUUAAAAUUUCACUAAUAUUCUCUCAAUUUUUUGUUGUACACUAUUCUUCUACAUGUUUAUUUGUGGGGUAAUUUUUUUUGUUCAAGUGACCCUCAUGAAUCGUUAACUUUUAUCCAUCUUAAGAGUUAUUUAAUUUUUUAUUUUGAAACAAAGAACCAAUUACGAAAUAAUUUUCACAACCAUUAAACUCUUUUUCUUUUGCGACGAAUCAUAUUUAUAAUUUUUUCGUUUAGAAUGAUUGAAUGUGACUUUUUUGUUGUUGUUGUGUGUGCAUGUCACAUAUAUCAAAUUUGUAUGUCACACUUAAAAUCUGAUAAACAAAUGUACAACAACAUUAAUGAGAGAAUCAACUUACUGAAAUUGAGAAUCAGAUAAAAAAAAAUUAUGUUAAAAUUGGGGAGUCAUAAAUUAUUUAUGUAGAAAUCUGUAUACCUUACAUUAGAGUCUUUUUUAUUUAAAGGACCUUACAUUAGAGUUAGAAUGAGACAAUGAUGUCAAAGUAUAAGAAAAAUGUGUGAUGCACUGUUUAAUUGAAAGAAGUUGUGUGAAUUAUUUUUUGUUUGAUCAAAUAAAAAAAAUUAAUUAACAAAUUUAAAUGAGGACAGAGAAAAGGCGAAUGGAAAAUUUAACCUUGCCAAUUAACAUUGCCUUAUAUAUAGUGUAAUAAAAAUUGGGAAAUUUAAUCAUCAUUUGCCAAGUGGCACAAUGCAUAUGUGGAGAGCCUAUUAGAAAAGCAGCAUUUAAUAAAGGUCAAUGUAUAACUUUUGCAAUUGUAUAUAAUAUAGAUAUAGUUAUAGAUAUAGAUAUUGGAACAAUAUAAAUGUCUUAUAAGCAAAAAUAAUGGUUAGUGGUUACACUAUUGUAUGGUUUUACUAAUACAUUACAUUAUUGUGUAUUGGCUAACACAAAAGACAGGAAAAUGACAAGAAGUUUGAAACCACACGUACCAAUCUUGUUUUAUUUAUGCUACUAUAACACACAUACUCAUCCGUAUUCUUCCUUCUCAUACUCUUCUCAUUUCCUCUUUAUUCACUACUCUCAUGGCUCUACUUCAAUCAUCCAUCUCUUCCUCCUCUUCCUUUUCCUAUGGAUUCACCUAUGACGUGUUCCUUAGUUUUAGAGGUAGUGACACUCGUUAUGGUUUUACUGGAAAUCUCUACAAAGAUCUUUGUAGGAAGAGAAUUCGUACCUUCAUUGAUGACAAAGACCUUCAACGAGGUGACGAAAUAACACCGUCACUUUUCAAGGCCAUUGAAGAGUCUAGGAUUUUCAUUCCUAUUUUGUCUAUCAAUUAUGCUUCUUCUUCCUUUUGCUUGGAUGAACUUGUCCACAUUAUUCACUGCUUCAAAGAAAAUGGGCGCCUAGUUUAGCCAGUUUUCUACGAUGUGGAACCUUCUCACGUGCGACAUCACAAGGGCAGUUAUGGUAAAGCACUGGCCGAGCAUAUUGAGAGGUUAAUAGCACGGAUAGCAUGGAGAGGUUGCAGAAAUGGAAGAUGGCUCUUACUCAAACUGCUAACUUCUCAGGCCACCAUUUCAGUCCUGGGUAACCUACUUAACUAAUGUUUUGUGUUCUUACAUAUAUAUUUCUUUAAUUUUCUAUUUUCUAACCGAUUCAUCUUACAGUUGAAAUUGGAAAUAUUAAUUUUAUUCUUAACAAGUGUAAGUUACUUGUAUGUCAAAACAAUAUUUGAAUUGUAUUCAUACAACAGUUAUCAACACAUUGAUGUUAUUGUGAAUUUGCGAUGCAUUUACUCAAACUUAUUUGAUUGGGUAGGAAUGGCUAUGAAUACGAGUUUAUUGAGAAGAUAGUCAAAUACGUAUUCAGGAAGAUCAGUUGUGUUCCUUUAUAUGUUGCGGAUUACCCUGUAGGUCUCGAGUCUAGGAUCCUAGAAGUAAAUUCACUUAUAGAUGUUGGAUCUAAUGGUAAAGUUCAGAUGCUAGGGAUCUAUGGGACUGGUGGAAUGGGAAAGACAACACUUGCAAGAGCAGUUUAUAAUUCCAUAGCCGAUCAAUUUGAUGGUUUGUGUUUUCUUAACGAAAUAAGUGCAAAUUCAGCUAAAUAUGGUUUAGAGCAUCUACAGGAAAAGCUCCUUUCCAAAUUAGUUGAAUUGUACGUUAAGUUAGGAGAUGUCAAUGAUGGAGUUCCAAUCAUAAAGCAAAGGCUUCACCGAAAGAAGGUUCUGUUGAUUCUCGAUGAUGUUCACGAACUGAAGCAAUUGCAGGUUUUGGCUGGAGGACUUGAUUGGUUCGGUCCUGGCAGUAGAGUGAUCGUUACCACUCGAGACAAACAUUUGCUAAAAAGUCACGGGAUUGAAAGAGCAUAUGAAAUUCCUAAGUUAAUUAAGAGAGAAGCUCUUGAAUUGUUGAGGUGGAAUACUUUCAAAAAUAACAAAGUCGAUUCAAAUUUUGACGGCAUUUUAUACUGUGCAGUAACUUAUGCUUCUGGCCUUCCAUUGGCUUUAGAAGUAGUGGGUUCCAACUUGUUUGGAAAGAAUAUAGUAGAAUGUAAAUCUGCAUUAUAUCAGUAUGAAAGGAUUCCCAUUAAAAAGAUCCAAGCGAUACUUAAAGUAAGCUUUGAUGCUUUGGAUGAAGAUGAGCAGAAUGUUUUUCUCGACAUUGCUUGCUGCUUCAAUGGAUAUGAAUUGAAAGAACUUGAAGAUAUACUUCAUGCUCAUUAUGGUAACUCCAUGAAGUAUCAAAUCAGUGUGUUGCUUGAAAAAUCUCUCAUCAAGAUCAACCAGUUCUGGGAGACUAGUUAUCUUACAUUACAUGCCUUAAUGGAGCAAAUAGGUAAAGAAAUUGUUCGACAAGAAUCCCUAAAAGAACCUGGAAAAUGUAGUAGGUUGUGGUUUCAUAAAGAUAUAAUUCAUGUCUUAGAAGAAAGUAAGGUGAAUAUACUGAUAUUCAUGAAUGGUUUAUUGUUAUCUUCAGUUUGCUCUUUUUUUACUAAUCCUAUUAAUGUUUAUGCUACACUUUUUUAUUCCCUUAUAAUAUGUAAAUUUAUCUUAAUUAGUGUGUUCAAUUUGUAACAUAUACACAUAUAUUAUGAAUCAUGGUUGAUUUGUGUUUUUUUUUCUUGCGCUUUAAGGGAUCAAGUAAAAUUGAAAUUAUAUAUUUGGAAUUCCCGUCAUCUGAGCAAAAGGUGGUAGAUUGGAAGGGAGAUGAACUCAAGAAGAUGCAAAACCUUAAAACACUUAUUGUUAAGAAUGGUAGCUUUUCCAAAGGUCCUAAAUAUUUUCCUGAUAGUAUUAGAGUAUUGGAAUGGCAUAAAUAUCCUUCACGGUUCGUACCGUCUGAUAUUUUCCCAAAGAAACGUUCUGUAUGCAAGCUACAGGAAAGUGACUUUUCAUCAUAUGAGUUGUGUGGCACAAUGAAGGUAUAUGUGUAAAUGUAAUGAUUUUUUACCCUCGUCUUAUAAGAAUAUUCAUUCAUUCGUUAAUUAUUUUUCUUUUGUCUUAUAUUUUGCAGAUGUUUGUGAAUAUGAGAGAGUUAAAUCUAGACAAAUGUCAAUUUUUAACACGGAUACACGACGUCUCCAAUCUCCCAAAUUUAGAAAUAUUUUCAUUUCAAGGUUGUAAGAAUUUAAUUGAAAUUCACAGAUCGUUUGGGUUCCUAAAUAAACUUGAAAUCUUGAACGCUACUGGUUGCAGCAAGCUUAUGAGAUUCCCACCAAUGAAGUCGAUGUCUCUUCGAGAGCUGAUGCUUUCAUAUUGUGAGAGUCUCAAGACUUUUCCAGAAAUAUUAGGAGAGGUGAAGAAUAUAACUUAUAUUACAUUGACAGACACUUCCAUUGAAAAAUUGCCAGUUUCAUUUCAAAAUCUCACUGGGCUUAGUAACUUAAAAAUAAAGGGAAAAGGAAUGCUUAGAUUACCUAGUAGCAUUUUUAGGAUGCCAAAUUUGUCAGACAUUACUGCUAACGGGUGCAUAUUGUCCAAACUGGAUGAUAAAUUUAGUUCCAUGGUGUUUACAUGCCCAAAUGAUAUCAAACUGAAGAAAUGCAACUUGUCAGAUGAAUUUCUUCCAAUACUUGUCAUGUGGUCUGCUAAUGUGGAAAUAUUAGACCUAUCAGGAAAUAGUUUCACAAUUCUUCCAGAAUGCAUCAAAGAUUGUCGCUUUUUGUCGAAGCUUACAUUGGAUGAUUGCAAGUGCCUUCGAGAAAUUAGAGGGAUUCCACCAAAUUUAAAAUAUUUGUCUGCAAAAUGCUGCAAAUCAUUGACUUCCUCGUGCAAAAACAUGCUAUUGAAUCAGGUUUUGUGUUUUUAUUCCUUGUAUUUGACUUAAUAUUUUAUAAGAUUGUUUACUCUAUCAAUUCUAUAUGGUUAACAGGAACUGCACGAGGCUGGAGAUACAAAAUUUUGUUUUUCAGGAUUUGCAAAAAUUCCAGAGUGGUUUGAGCACCAAAAUAUGGGAAAUACAAUUUCUUUUUGGUUUCGUAACAAGCAUCCUUCCAUGGCUCUCUGUAUUUCUACUAAAUCAGUUGAUACAACCAGUAAUGAUUUUGAUUUACAUAAGACAAGUCCCACUCUGAUCAUCCAUGGCAACAAAUAUGAUCUUUAUAUUCUCCUGACUAAGUUUGGUAAAAUGUGGACUCAUCAUACAUAUUUGUAUGAUAUGAAGCUGGAAUUUAAGCCAAACUACAACAUGGGCGGAAUUUUUUUAGUAAAUGAAUGGAUUCAUGCAGAGGUUAGAUGGGAACAUCGGGGGGUUGAACCACUAACAGAAUUUGGAAUCCAUUUUUUCAAACAGAAAAAUAACAUGGAGGACAUUAAAUUCACCGAUCCUUAUGAAAAGAUAAAGUUAAAUGAUAAUGAUGUCAUUGAUGAUGAUGAAGAUGAUGUUUUUUAUGAUGCUGAUGAUGUUCUUGAUGAUGAUGGAGGAUAUUGAAUUCACCAUUCACAAUAGUUCCGGCCAAUCACAAGACCACCCGUUGGUGUAUAAAUGGUCAUGUGCGAUUUUCAUUUCUUCCAACGUCAACAAUGCAUUCAUUGGAUGAUAUUGUGAAUGAUGAAUUCAAUGACCACCGUGUCGACACAGAUAUGUAAAUAUGUAAUUCCAAUUCUGUGUGCUUAUUUAUGUUCUUCAAAUGAUUGCUCUCUCCACUUAAAGUUACAAAUAUUGGAGCCAAUUCUGCAAAUCAUAUUAUGAGUGCUACCAAUGAUAUAUAUGGCUGGUGAAGGAUUGGUGAUAUAUUCCUAAAAGAUUUUACUUCAUAUACAGUCUUAAUCUGAACCAUUGGCUAGUUCGAUGUUUAUGGAAGAUUUAACUGCAUGGUUUUUGAUACUUAUGGAUGCUAAUUAUUUAUAAUUAGUAAAAAGUUUUUCUUAAGUCUGACUCAUAUUUAUCAAUAAGUGUGCAGUCACUCGCGAGCGUAGUGUUCAAAAGUAAACUUAUAAAUUUUAAUCUCAAGUUGUAAUGUGUCACCUUAAUAUUGAAUAAUAAAAAAUCACAGCAGCUACUAUUAUACUGUUGAAGAUGAAGACAUAACUGGCAAAACUAUGAUCAAUUGCUUGUGUUACAAAAGCUUUAUAAAUUCAUCAAACCCCUUGUAACAUUCAAGCCUUAACCACUAUUCUCAACCUUAGUAUCUUUGAAUUUGGUUAAUUCCUUUGUUCUCCGUGGCUUUGUUUGCGAGUUGGGUUUUGGAGGGGAGGGGAAGGGAAGGAAAGGCUUAUGGAGUGGUAACCCUUGUUUGCGAGUUUUAAAAAAACAAGGCAUAGGGGGGGGGGUUUGAAGGGCUUCAUUUGUCCAAUUUUAAAGUUCCCCCAAAUUGGGGGGUUAAACAUACAAAUUGAAAAUUUUGCCCUCUUAAUAAUUCAAAAUUCCAAUUUUAGACAUUACUAAAAUUAUUACAAUCUUUUUUAAAAACAACUUAUUUAUACAAAGCAGCUUAUUACGAUCUAAUUUUCAAAAACAGCUUAUUCAAAACAACUUAUUUAUACAAAACAGCUUAUUACGACCUCAUUUUCAAAAACCGAUUAUUCAAAACAACUUAUUUAUAUAAAACAGCUUAUUACGACCUCAUUUUCAAAAACAGCUUAUUCAAAACAACUUAUUUAUGCAAAACAAUUUAAUACAAUCUCUUUUUUCAAAAACAGCUUAUUCAAAACAUCUUAUUUAUACAAAGCAGCUUAAUACGACCUAAUUUUCAAAAACCGCUUAUUAAAAACAACUUAUUUAUACAAAACAACUUAUUACGACCUCAUUUUCAAAAACCGCAUAUUCAAAACAACUUAUUUAUGAAAAACAGCUUAAUACGAUCUCUUUUUCAAAAACAGCUUAUUCAAACCAGCUUAUUUAUACAAAGCAGCUUAUUACGACCUAAUUUUCAAAAACAGCUUAUUCAAAACAACUUAUUUAUACAAAACAGCUUAUUACGACCUCAUUUUCAAAAACCGAUUAUUCAAAACAACUUAUUUAUAUAAAACAGCUUAUUACGACCUCAUUUUCAAAAACAGCUUAUUCAAAACAACUUAUUUAUGCAAAACAAUUUAAUACAAUCUCUUUUUUCAAAAACAGCUUAUUCAAAACAUCUUAUUUAUACAAAGCAGCUUAUUACGACCUAAUUUUCAAAAACCGCUUAUUAAAAACAACUUAUUACGACCUCAUUUUCAAAAACCGCAUAUUCAAAACAACUUAUUUAUGAAAAACAGCUUAAUACGAUCUCUUUUUCAAAAACAGCUUAUUCAAACCAGCUUAUUUAUACAAAACAGCUUAUUACGACCUCAUUUUCAAAAACAGCUUAUUCAAAACAACUUAUUUAUACAAAACAGCUUAUUACGACCUCAUUUUCAAAAACCGAUUAUUCAAAACAACUUAUUUAUAUAAAACAGCUUAUUACGACCUCAUUUUCAAAAACAGCUUAUUCAAAACAACUUAUUUAUGCAAAACAAUUUAAUACAAUCUCUUUUUUCAAAAACAGCUUAUUCAAAACAUCUUAUUUAUACAAAGCAGUUUAUUACGACCUAAUUUUCAAAAACCGCUUAUUAAAAACAACUUAUUUAUACAAAACAACUUAUUACGACCUCAUUUUCAAAAACCGCAUAUUCAAAACAACUUAUUUAUGCAAAACAGUUUAAUACGAUCUCUUUUUCAAAAACAGCUUAUUUAUAUAAAAUAGCUUAUUACGACCUCAUUUUCAAAAACUGCUUAUUCAAAACAAAUUAUUUAUACAAAACAGCUUAUUACGACCUCAUUUUCAAAAAAAGCUUAUUCAAAACAACUUAUUUAUGCAAAACAACUUAAUACGAUCUCUUUUUCAACAAGUUGUUUUGAAUAANNNNNNNNNNNNNNNNNNNNNNNNNNNNNNNNNNNNNNNNNNNNNNNNNNNNNNNNNNNNNNNNNNNNNNNNNNNNNNNNNNNNNNNNNNNNNNNNNNNNAGCUUUGAUGCUUGUUCAUCAGUAUGAAUUAUUCAGAAUGAAGGAUGAUGAGAGUAUUGAAGAAAUGUACUCAAGAUUUCAAACUUUGGUUUCUGGAUUGCAAAUUCUAAAGAAAAGCUAUGCUGCUUCUGAUCAUGUCAGUAAGAUUUUGAGAAGCUUACCUUCAAGAUGGAGACCCAAAGUAACUGCUAUUGAGGAAGCUAAGGAUCUAAACACUUUAAGUGUUGAAGAUCUUGUUAGCUCACUCAAAGUGCAUGAAAUGAGUUUAAAUGAGCAUGAAUCCUCUAAGAAGAGUAAAUCCAUUGCUCUACCAUCUAAAGGAAAGACUUCAAAAUCUUCAAAAGCCUACAAAGCCAGUGAAUCUGAAGAAGAAUCACCUGAUGGAGAUUCUGAUGAAGAUCAGUCGGUGAAAAUGGCUAUGCUGUCCAACAAACUUGAAUAUCUGGCAAGGAAGCAAAAGAAAUUUUUGAGCAAGAGAGGUGGCUACAAGAACUCAAAGAAAGAAGAUCAGAAGGGGUGCUUCAACUGCAAGAAGCCUGGUCAUUUUAUUGCUGAUUGCCCUGAUCUUCAGAAGGAGAAAUCCAAAAGUAAAUCCAAGAAAUCAAGCUUCAGCUCCAGUAAGUUUAGAAAGCAAAUCAAAAAGAGCUUGAUGGCUACCUGGGAAGAUUUGGAUAGUGAAUCUUGUUCUGAUAAAGAAGAAGCAGAAAAUGAUACAAAAGCAGCCAUGGGGUUAGUGGCAACAGUAUCAUCAGAAGCAAUAUCAGAAGCUGAAUCAGAUUCAGAAGAUGAAAAUGAGGUAUAUUCCAAAAUUCCUAGACAAGAACUUGUUGAUUCUCUAAAAGAACUUUUAUCACUAUUUGAACACAGAACCAAUGAGUUGACAGAUUUAAAAGAAAAAUAUGUUGAUUUGAUGAAACAACAAAAGUCAACUCUAUUGGAACUUAAAGCUUCUGAAGAAGAACUCAAAGGGUUUAACCUCAUAUCAACAACAUAUGAAGAUAGACUCAAGAGUCUUUGUCAGAAGCUACAAGAAAAAUGUGAUAAAGGAUCAGGCAAUAAACAUGAGAUUGCCUUGGAUGAUUUCAUUAUGGCUGGAAUAGACAGAAGCAAAGUUGCUUCUAUGAUCUACAGCACAUACAAGAACAAAGGCAAAGGGAUUGGAUAUUCUGAGGAGAAAUCUAAAGAAUACAGUCUCAAGAGCUACUGUGAUUGUAUCAAGGAUGGAUUGAAAUCCACCUUUGUGCCUGAAGGUACAAAUGCUGUAACUGCUGUUCAGUCAAAACCUGAAGCUUCUGGUUCAAAGGCUAAGAUCACAUCAAAGCCAGAAAACCUUAAGAUCAAGGUGAUGACAAAAUCUGAUCCUAAUAGUCAAAAGAUUAAAAUUCUGAAAAGAUCAGAACCUGUUCAUCAGAAUCUGAUUAAACCAGAAUCUAAAAUUCCAAAACAAAAGGAUCAGAAGAACAAAGCAGCUACUGCUUCUGAGAAAACAAUACCAAAAGGUGUCAAACCUAAAGUAUUGAAUGAACAGAAGCCACUCAGCAUUCACCCUAAGGUACAAGGGAGGAAAAGUAAAGCCUCCAGAACUAACCCAAAAGGACCCAUGAAAAUAUGGGUACCUAAAUCUGAAUUGGCUAAAACUGCAGGUGUGCCUAAGGGCAAGAGAGAAACAAAGGUCAUGGUACCUAGACAGCGGAUGCUCAAGGCACAUGACUGGAGAGAAAGCUUUGUUCCUUACCCUUACAAUGAAAGAUGGAGGAGAAGUGAAGUUUGGUGGCAACCAAACUGGAAAAAUCAUUGGUACAGGUACUAUUGGUAAUUCCUCCAUCUCAAUUAAUAAUGUGUGGCUAGUAGAUGGUCUGAAGCAUAACCUAUUGAGCAUUAGUCAAUUUUGUGACAAUGGGUAUGAUGUAAUGUUCAGUAAGACCAACUGCACACUGGUCAACAAGGAUGACAAAUCCAUUACAUUCAAGGGAAAGAGAGUUGAGAAUGUCUAUAAAAUAAAUUUCUCUGAUCUGGCUGAUCAGAAGGUAGUUUGCCUUCUGUCAAUGAAUGAUAAAAAAUGGGUAUGGCAUAAAAGGUUGGGACAUGCUAAUUGGAGAUUAAUUUCUAAAAUUAGCAAGUUACAACUGGUUAAAGGAUUGCCUAACAUUGAUUAUCAUUCAGAUGCACUUUGUGGUGCAUGUCAGAAAGGGAAAAUUGUGAAAAGUUCUUUCAAAUCUAAAGACAUUGUAUCAACCUCCAGACCCUUAGAAUUACUCCAUAUUGAUCUUUUUGGACCAGUUAACACUGCAUCCUUAUAUGGAAGUAAAUAUGGAUUAGUCAUUGUUGAUGAUUACAACAGAUGGACUUGGGUCAAAUUCAUUAAAAGUAAAGAUUAUGCUUGUGAAGUGUUGUCAUACCCCAAUUUUGGACCGUUUAAAAUCUCUUGUCCGUAUUUUAAAAUUGUUCACGUUCCCAUUUAUUCGUUGUUUUUUACCAUUUAAAAUUCGUGUUUCUUGUCUUUAGUUAUUCAAAAAAGUUUUAUUUUUACGUUAAAUCAACGUUUGCAUUUCACAACGAUUAAAACCGUCUCACUUUCAUUUUUAUGACGCAUUUUUGUUAUAUAGUCUUUUUAGCCGUAACGAUCAUGUCUAAAAAAAGAAGGCCUAAUCGCAUUUUAAAAGGCGUUUUUUAUUAAUCAUUUCAAUCGAAAUUUCGGCAAGGAGGAUACUUUGAAGUACCUCAUGUCAGAUUUCGAAGGGACUUUUUUAUUUUUAUUUUUUUUUUUUAGGUUAGUUUGUUUAUUAUUAUUUAGGAAAAAAAAAACAAAGAAGUGAAAGUCACGUGAAUGACUUCCUUCCUUUUAUUUUCUUUUCUUUUUUUUUAUUAUUUAUUUAUUUUAUUCAUUUUUGUUUUUAUUUUAUUUAUUUAUUUAUUUAUUUGUUAAAAUCUUUUUCUCCAAGUCUCAGCUGCAGGGGCAUUUUGGUCAUUGACUUGUACCAGAGCCAACCCUAGUUUGUCACUAUAAAAACACUGUCAAUCAUUGGGAAAUGGGUCAGAGAAAAAUCACUGUAGCUGCGUCAGAGUCAAAUCAGUCCCUCAACCCACACAAACCCUAAUUUCCUUUCUCUCAUACAUUUUUUUCGGAUCAAAAAAACAGGAUUUCCAGAUAAAGAAGAAAGAAAAGGCUCAACAACAUUCAAUAUCAAAACAAAUCAUAAUCACAACACCAGUUCAUUACACAAACAAAAACAGAUCGGAGUGCUCAAACCCAAGAACAACAAACACCAACAAUUACGAAAUCAAAGUGUAGAAAACGGAACCGAACCGGACCGGAAAGAAGAGGGAACAAACGGAGGCACGGAUUUUUGGACCGGAUAGAAGAAAACAAUCAACAAGAGGUAGUCUCUAUCUCUUCAUCUUGUGGUGUUUUGUUUCUUCUUUUACUCCUAUCUUAUUUUCGUGAAUCUUUGGCUUUAGAUCUAGGUUUUUUUGUUGUGAGUUUGAGAAAAGCAAGUCCGGAUCCGUGUUUAGUGCUAAAAAGGAUGUGUGAAUAUGUGAAAAUUUUUUAAUUUGGAGUGGUUUGGUUGCUCCGGCGCGGCGGCGCCGCCUGUUGGCCGGCGGCCACCACGCCGGAAAACGCAAGCUUCGCCGGAGAAGAAGGCUGCAAUUUGCAGACCUUCUCUCACUAGAAAUGUUUAGAGAGAGGGAGGAAGGAGAAAAAUGAUAAAAAACCGGUCCCUAUGCCUUUUAUAAACAUGCGCAGACCGGUCUGGUUCAUCUGAACCGGACCGGUCCAUAUAUUUCCUCUUUCCUUUCUUUCUAAACCUUUAAAUCCUUUCUUUUUUUUAAUCCAACGGUUAUGCAUGUGCAAUCUAUGGUGAUACUUAGUACACCUUCAGAUCUAGACUGAUUGAUUUUUAAUCUAACGGUCAGGGAUGAUUCUGUUUAGAUCACACGCGUGUCCCUUGCUUGCAGUAUUCCAUGUUCUGUUUUGUCCAACCGUUGGAUCUUAGAUUCUAUGGCUGUGAUGAGAUCUUGAGAUUCAGAUCUGGACCUCUGGAUUCAUCCAACGGUCCAGAUUAGAUCCUGCUGAGCCAAUAUUUUUUUAUUCCUUAUUUUUAAUUAUCUUUAUUUUUAAAUACUGUUUUUACACUUUUUUGACAUUUUGUGUCUAAAAAAAAUUCCAAAAAAUAUUUUUUCACCAUUUUAAUUUUCUCUAAUUUUAAAAAUCCAUCCUAUUUGUUUCCUUUUAAUUUUUUUUUUUUGUUUAUCUCUUAUAUGAUGAUCUUAAUUAUUAUUUGUCUUAAUUCUUGCUUAUUAUUUCUUAUGUCUCAUUCAUCAUAAUAUUUCUUGUGAUUACUAACUAUUUAAUUUUUGUCUUGAAUCAUAGCAUGCACAUUUUGUAACGCCCACUUUCGUUUAAUCGUUAUUUAAUCGAGUUUAGGCAAUUAUAUUAUAAUUAUAUAAUAUGUGCAUGAUUUUGAUAUGUUUUGAUGAUUUGUUUUGAUGACGUGUUAAGUUAUGAGUUUUGGAGGAUAUGAUAAGAUUAGAGAAUUUAUUUUAUUGUUAAAUAAAAUAAAGAUUUGAAAAAUAUUUAGUUGAGGGCUGUUUUGAUAUUUUAGAUAGUUUUGGGGGAGAAAGUGAAAUAAGAUAAGUUAUUAAGGAGAGAUAUAAAAGAGGCUAAACCUAGUUUUAGAAAAACACUUUGUACGUGAAAACUUUUGGAAAAGGGAGAAAAAGCUUAGAGAGGAGCAAGAGACCAAGAGGGCUGCGAUUUCUUCAUAACCAGGUAAGGGUGGGACUAAUAACUCAGUAGCAUUAACCUCUGUAAUUCUGAUGAUUAGUUGACAAAGUUAGGAUUGAUUUAGAGAAGUUUUGGAAUUAGGUCAAACCCUAAAAUUUGAGAAUAAAUGGUAAAACUUGUUUAGAUUGAUGAAAGAACCGUCCUUUAACCUUAGAAUAUGUUUAGGAUGAAUUCUGGAAUCAAAACCAAGCUUAGAACCAUGUGAAACGUCGGAUUUCUGUGAUAUUAGGAAGCCUGGCCGUAGCGACAUUCAUCGCUCGCCACGGCGAGCUAUGAUCCUCGCCUCGCGAGUGAUGAAGAUUCAUCGCUCGCCUCGCGAGCCCCUUUCCUUCGCCUCGCGAGUUGUCUGGUGCAACUCGCCAUGGCGAGCAACCCCUCUCGCCUCGCGAGCUUAGGCAGAGUGCAUGUCAUAUUUCGUGUUUCGACCUUUUUAGUUGAACCUUGUAUGCCUUUGAGUACCAGAACAUACCUAGUAUUGAUUAGGAAUGAUUUUAGGACAGGAUUGAACCCAGAACAACAUCAGUUUGGGAGAUUAGUGUUACUCGCCAUGGCGAGUAAGUACUCUCGCCUCGCGAGUACAACCAGAAUGUAGUUGCUUGAGUGUUGUGCGAUCUGUGUCGCAUGUGUUGAUCAAGAGUGAACCCCUAGUUGGUAAUGAAACCUAAAGAUGACGUUUAAUGCAGCCUGUAGAGUUGUUUAAGUUACAUAAAUAUUAAUUGAGCAAGAACUAUUAUAUUGUAUAUUCAUGCAAGAUAUGAAGGGUUAAUAAUAAUGCAAUUUAUGUGCUAUUGAUAUAAUGAUAUCAUCUUGAUAUGUGACUUGUUUAUGCUGCUUCCGUUAUUUAACUAAGUGCAUAUGUAUAUGAUAAGGUUUAGCUCCAAAUUAUUGGACGCAUUGUUGAUUACGAUGAUUACGUGUUUUGUUCAUAAGUGUCCAUGCAUUACAUAUCAUUGAGCUUAGUCUUCACCACGAAUAUUAGGAGCUUUGUCCUCCGCACGUUUUAUAGGAGCUUUGUCCUCCGCACGAUUAAAGUAUAUUAAUACUUAUGAUGACGAUUGGUACCACAUGCAUAUAUGGAGUCUAGGAGCAUUGUCACAUUGUCAUGAUUAAGAUGCCUUGUUGAUAAUGAUUGAAUAUGUGAUUACGUGAUAAGUGUUUAUUGAAUGUGUUAUGUUAUUCCUAAUUAUUGGAUAUAUGAUUACGUGAUAACUGCUUAGCAUUUAUGCAAAGUUAAUAAUGUAAUGACUAUGAUGUUUAACUUAUAAUUCUUAAUUGCAUUGUUUAAUGUUAUUCUGUUAUGAAAUCUCACCCCUUCUGUUUGAAUGUUACCUCGACCGUGGGUAACGUGCAGGUGAUCGUGCUUAGUGUGCAGUUGCCGUCGUGAGUGGCCUUGCCUUCACUGUGUCGUCUAGGUCGCUCUGAUACGUAACGGGAUGGGGUUAUUGCUAUAAUAAGCUUCAUUCUUUUACGUGAACUGCCAUGAUAAUUAUGUUUUGAUAAACUCUUUUGAGAUACUUGUUGGGCCUGAGUGCCAAAACGUUUUAUGAAUUAUAUUUACGACUUUCCGCUGCAAUGUUUAAGAUAUUGGUUAAAUUAUUAUUUAACUGUUGGAUUACGUUAUAUGUGAUAUCCCGUUGUUUGAUGUUACUCUGAUAAAUGUUAUGUUUUUAAAGAAAUUUUCGAUAUUGGGAAAACGGGGUGUUACAAUUGGUAUCAGAGCAGGUCGGUCCGUCCGGUCAAUUAGAGAGUUGUGUCGAGUCUUAGUAAUAUUAUAUUACUAUCUUAUACUGUUGUUGCUACUUUUGUAGAAUAUCAGAAUGGCUGGAAGGAACGAUGCUGCGUUAGCUGCUGCUCUACAAGCUGUUGCCCAAGCUGUGGGACAACAACCUAACGUGAAUGCUGGUGCGAAUGCUGAAGCUAGGAUGUUGGAGACGUUCAUGAAGAAGAACCCUCCGACUUUCAAAGGACGUUAUGACCCUGAUGGAGCCCAGACGUGGCUUAAAGAGAUAGAGAGGAUUUUCCGGGUUAUGCAGUGCACGGAAGAUCAGAAAGUUCGGUUUGGUACUCAUCAGCUGGCCGAGGAAGCUGAUGACUGGUGGGUUGCUCUUCUACCUACCCUUGAGCAGGAGGGAGCUGUUGUGACUUGGGCUGUUUUCAAGAGGGAGUUCCUGAGAAGAUACUUUCCGGAAGAUGUUCGCGGGAAGAAGGAGAUCGAGUUCCUUGAGUUGAAGCAAGGGAACAUGUCUGUGACAGAGUAUGCUGCCAAGUUUGUGGAGCUGUCAAAGUUUUACCCGCACUAUACUGCUGAGAAUUCUGAGUUCUCGAGAUGUAUCAAGUUCGAGAACGGUUUGAGGCCCGACAUCAAGAGGGCGCUUGGGUAUCAACAGCUGAGAGUUUUUCAGGACUUGGUUAAUAGCUGCAGGAUCUAUGAAGAGGAUACGAAGGCUCACUACAAGGUAGUGAACGAAAGGAAGGGUAAGGGGCAGCAGAGUCGUCCUAAGCCGUACAGUGCCCCCGCUGACAAAGGGAAACAGAAGAUGGUCGAUGUUAGGCGGCCUAAGAAGAAGGAUGCUGCAGAGAUUGUGUGCUUCAAUUGUGGUGGGAAAGGCCACAAGAGCAACGCCUGUCCCGAAGAAAUCAAGAAGUGUGUCCGGUGUGGUAAGAGAGGUCAUGUUGUAGCUGAUUGCAAUCGCACGGACAUUGUGUGCUUUAACUGCAAUGGAGAGGGUCACAUUAGUUCUCAGUGUACUCAGCCGAAGAGGGCGCCGACUACUGGUAGGGUUUUUGCUUUGACUGAGACUCAGACAGAGAAUGAGGAUCGUUUGAUCAGAGGUACUUGCUAUAUUAAUAAUACCCCUUUAGUUGCUAUUAUUGAUACUGGUGCUACGCAUUGCUUUAUUGCUUUCGAUUGUGUUUCUGCUUUGGGUCUUGAGUUGUCUGAUAUGAAUGGAGAGAUGGUUGUCGAAACUCCAGCUAAGGGUUCGGUGACUACUUCUCUCGUAUGUUUGAAAUGUCCUUUGUCUAUGUUUGGUCGUGAUUUUGAAAUGGAUUUAGUUUGUCUACCUUUGAGUGGUAUGGAUGUGAUUUUGGGUAUGAACUGGUUAAAGUACAAUCACGUUCUUAUUAAUUGUUUUAGCAAGUCAGUACAUUUCUCUUCCGUCGAAGAGGAAAGUGGUGCAGAGUUUUUAUCUACUAAGCAGCUGAAGCAACUGGAACGCGAUGAUAUCUUGAUGUUUUCCUUGAUGGCUUCUUUAUCUGUUGAGAAUCAAGCAAUGAUUGAUAGGCUACCGGUGGUGUGUGAAUUUCCUGAAGUCUUUCCAGAUGAGAUUCCUGAUGUGCCUCCAGAGAGAGAAGUCGAGUUUUCUAUUGAUCUUGUUCCUGGAACGAAACCGGUCUCGAUGGCACCUUAUCGUAUGUCUGCUUCAGAAUUAUCUGAGUUGAAGGAACAGUUGGAGGACUUGCUUGAAAAGAAGUUUGUUAGACCAAGUGUUUCACCUUGGGGAGCGCCGGUUUUGCUAGUAAAGAAGAAAGAUGGUAGUAUGCGGUUGUGUAUUGAUUAUCGGCAGUUGAACAAAGUAACUAUCAAGAAUAGGUAUCCACUUCCGAGAAUUGAUGAUUUGAUGGAUCAGCUAGUGGGUGCACAAGUUUUCAGCAAGAUUGAUUUGAGAUCGGGUUAUCACCAGAUUAAAGUAAAAGAUGAGGAUAUGCAGAAGACAGCUUUCAGAACGCGCUAUGGUCACUAUGAAUACAAAGUUAUGCCUUUCGUUGUGACCAAUGCACCUGGAGUGUUUAUGGAGUAUAUGAAUCGCAUCUUCCAUGCAUUUUUGGAUCGGUUCGUAGUUGUGUUCAUCGACGAUAUUUUGAUUUACUCCAAGACUGAAGAAGAACAUGCAGAGCAUCUGAAGAUUGUCUUACAAGUGUUGAAAGAGAAGAAACUUUAUGCCAAAUUGUCUAAGUGUGAAUUCUGGUUGAAAGAAGUGAGUUUCCCUGGCCAUGUUAUUUCCGGAGAUGGUAUUGCUGUGGAUCCGUCUAAAGUCGAAGCUGUAUCACGAUGGGAUACUCCUAAGUCCGUUAGUGAGAUUAGAAGCUUUUUGGGUUUAGCUGGUUACUAUAGAAGAUUUAUUGAAGGAUUUUCUAAGUUAGCUCUUCCGCUUACACAGUUGACUUGUAAAGGUAAGACCUUUGUGUGGGACGUUCAUUGUGAGAGGAGUUUCGGUGAAUUGAAGAAACGUCUGACGAUUGCUCCAGUUUUGAUUUUGCCGAAGCCCGAAGAACCUUUUGUGGUAUAUUGUGAUGCGUCCAAGUUGGGUUUGGGAGGUGUGCUUAUGCAAGAAGGUAAAGUGGUAGCUUAUGCUUCAAGACAGUUGAGAGUUCAUGAGAAGAAUUAUCCUACGCAUGAUCUCGAGUUGGCAGCUGUAGUCUUUGUGUUAAAGAUAUGGAGACAUUAUUUGUAUGGUUCGAGGUUUGAGGUGUUUAGUGAUCACAAGAGUUUGAAGUAUUUGUUCGAUCAGAAGGAAUUGAAUAUGAGGCAGCGAAGAUGGCUAGAGUUGCUAAAGGAUUAUGACUUUGGUUUAAAUUAUCACCCAGGUAAAGCUAAUGUUGUUGCAGAUGCCUUGAGUAGGAAGACAUUGCAUAUGUCUGCCAUGAUGGUCAGAGAGUUCGAGUUACUUGAACAGUUCAGAGAUAUGAGUUUGGUUUGUGAAUGGUCGCCUCAGAGUGUGAAACUGGGUAUGCUGAAGAUUGAUAGUGAAUUUCUGAAAAGCAUCAAAGAAGCACAGAAAGUUGAUGUGAAGUUCGUGGAUUUGUUGGUUGCUAGAGAUCAGGCUCAAGGCAGUGAUUUUAAAAUCGAUGAUCAAGGCGUGUUGAGAUUCCGAGGGAGAAUUUGUAUUCCAGACGACGAAGAGAUUAAGAAGAUGAUUCUUGAAGAGAGUCAUAGAAGUAGCUUGAGUAUUCACCCGGGAGCUACGAAGAUGUAUCAUGAUCUAAAGAAGAUUUUCUGGUGGUCUGGUUUGAAAGGAGAUGUGGCACAGUUUGUGUAUUCCUGUUUAGUUUGUCAGAAGUCGAAGGUCGAGCAUCAGAAACCCGCUGGGAUGAUGGUACCUUUGGAUGUGCCGGAAUGGAAAUGGGAUAGUAUAUCGAUGGAUUUUGUGACGAGUUUGCCGAAUACUCCGAGAGGGAGCGAUGCAAUUUGGGUUAUAGUUGAUAGAUUGACAAAGUCAGCUCAUUUCCUACCUAUUAAUAUUAGUUUCCCUGUUGCCCAGUUGGCAGAGAUUUACAUCAAAGAGAUUUUGAAGUUGCAUGGUGUUCCUUCGAGCAUUGUAUCAGAUAGAGAUCCAAGAUUUACUUCUAGAUUUUGGAAAAGUUUGCAAGAGGCUUUGGGUUCGAAGUUGAGAUUGAGUUCGGCGUAUCAUCCACAGACGGAUGGUCAGUCGGAGAGGACAAUUCAGUCACUAGAGGAUUUAUUGAGAAUUUGUGUUCUUGAGCAAGGAGGAACUUGGGACAGUCAUCUUCCGUUGAUCGAGUUCACUUAUAAUAAUAGUUAUCAUUCUAGUAUUGGAAUGGCACCUUUCGAGGCUUUAUAUGGUCGGAUAUGCAGAACUCCGUUGUGUUGGUUUGAGUCAGGAGAAAGAGUGGUCUUAGGACCAGAGAUUGUUCAGCAAACUACUGAGAAAGUUCAGAUGAUCCGAGAGAAAAUGAAGGCGUCGCAGAGUCGACAAAAGAGUUAUCAUGAUAAGCGUAGAAAAGAUCUUGAAUUUAAGGAAGGAGACCACGUGUUUUUGAGAGUCACUCCUAUGACUGGUGUAGGACGUGCUUUGAAGUCAAAGAAGUUGACCCCGAAGUUCAUUGGUCCGUAUCAGAUAUUGGAAAGAGUUGGGACGGUGGCUUACCGAGUGGGUUUACCGCCGCAUCUUUCGAAUUUGCACAAUGUUUUCCAUGUGUCGCAACUUCGGAAGUAUGUUCCGGAUCCAUCUCAUGUAAUUCAGAGUGACGAUGUGCAAGUUAGAGACAACCUUACGGUAGAGACGUUACCGUUGAGGAUUGAUGAUCGUAAAGUGAAGACGUUGAGGGGCAAAGAGAUACCUCUCGUGAGAGUCGUUUGGUCGGGAGCGACUGGCGAAAGCUUGACGUGGGAGCUUGAGAGUAAGAUGCUGGAGUCGUAUCCAGAGUUGUUUACUUAAGGUAAAUUUUCGAGGACGAAAAUCUUUUAAGUGGGGGAGAGUUGUAACGCCCACUUUCAUUUAAUCGUUAUUUAAUCGAGUUUAGGCAAUUAUAUUAUAAUUAUAUAAUAUGUGCAUGAUUUUGAUAUGUUUUGAUGAUUUGUUUUGAUGACGUGUUAAGUUAUGAGUUUUGGAGGAUAUGAUAAGAUUAGAGAAUUUAUUUUAUUGUUAAAUAAAAUAAAGAUUUGAAAAAUAUUUAGUUGAGGGCUGUUUUGAUAUUUUAGAUAGUUUUGGGGGAGAAAGUGAAAUAAGAUAAGUUAUUAAGGAGAGAUAUAAAAGAGGCUAAACCUAGUUUUAGAAAAACACUUUGUACGUGAAAACUUUUGGAAAAGGGAGAAAAAGCUUAGAGAGGAGCAAGAGACCAAGAGGGCUGCGAUUUCUUCAUAACCAGGUAAGGGUGGGACUAAUAACUCAGUAGCAUUAACCUCUGUAAUUCUGAUGAUUAGUUGACAAAGUUAGGAUUGAUUUAGAGAAGUUUUGGAAUUAGGUCAAACCCUAAAAUUUGAGAAUAAAUGGUAAAACUUGUUUAGAUUGAUGAAAGAACCGUCCUUUAACCUUAGAAUAUGUUUAGGAUGAAUUCUGGAAUCAAAACCAAGCUUAGAACCAUGUGAAACGUCGGAUUUCUGUGAUAUUAGGAAGCCUGGCCGUAGCGACAUUCAUCGCUCGCCACGGCGAGCUAUGAUCCUCGCCUCGCGAGUGAUGAAGAUUCAUCGCUCGCCUCGCGAGCCCCUUUCCUUCGCCUCGCGAGUUGUCUGGUGCAACUCGCCAUGGCGAGCAACCCCUCUCGCCUCGCGAGCUUAGGCAGAGUGCAUGUCAUAUUUCGUGUUUCGACCUUUUUAGUUGAACCUUGUAUGCCUUUGAGUACCAGAACAUACCUAGUAUUGAUUAGGAAUGAUUUUAGGACAGGAUUGAACCCAGAACAACAUCAGUUUGGGAGAUUAGUGUUACUCGCCAUGGCGAGUAAGUACUCUCGCCUCGCGAGUACAACCAGAAUGUAGUUGCUUGAGUGUUGUGCGAUCUGUGUCGCAUGUGUUGAUCAAGAGUGAACCCCUAGUUGGUAAUGAAACCUAAAGAUGACGUUUAAUGCAGCCUGUAGAGUUGUUUAAGUUACAUAAAUAUUAAUUGAGCAAGAACUAUUAUAUUGUAUAUUCAUGCAAGAUAUGAAGGGUUAAUAAUAAUGCAAUUUAUGUGCUAUUGAUAUAAUGAUAUCAUCUUGAUAUGUGACUUGUUUAUGCUGCUUCCGUUAUUUAACUAAGUGCAUAUGUAUAUGAUAAGGUUUAGCUCCAAAUUAUUGGACGCAUUGUUGAUUACGAUGAUUACGUGUUUUGUUCAUAAGUGUCCAUGCAUUACAUAUCAUUGAGCUUAGUCUUCACCACGAAUAUUAGGAGCUUUGUCCUCCGCACGUUUUAUAGGAGCUUUGUCCUCCGCACGAUUAAAGUAUAUUAAUACUUAUGAUGACGAUUGGUACCACAUGCAUAUAUGGAGUCUAGGAGCAUUGUCACAUUGUCAUGAUUAAGAUGCCUUGUUGAUAAUGAUUGAAUAUGUGAUUACGUGAUAAGUGUUUAUUGAAUGUGUUAUGUUAUUCCUAAUUAUUGGAUAUAUGAUUACGUGAUAACUGCUUAGCAUUUAUGCAAAGUUAAUAAUGUAAUGACUAUGAUGUUUAACUUAUAAUUCUUAAUUGCAUUGUUUAAUGUUAUUCUGUUAUGAAAUCUCACCCCUUCUGUUUGAAUGUUACCUCGACCGUGGGUAACGUGCAGGUGAUCGUGCUUAGUGUGCAGUUGCCGUCGUGAGUGGCCUUGCCUUCACUGUGUCGUCUAGGUCGCUCUGAUACGUAACGGGAUGGGGUUAUUGCUAUAAUAAGCUUCAUUCUUUUACGUGAACUGCCAUGAUAAUUAUGUUUUGAUAAACUCUUUUGAGAUACUUGUUGGGCCUGAGUGCCAAAACGUUUUAUGAAUUAUAUUUACGACUUUCCGCUGCAAUGUUUAAGAUAUUGGUUAAAUUAUUAUUUAACUGUUGGAUUACGUUAUAUGUGAUAUCCCGUUGUUUGAUGUUACUCUGAUAAAUGUUAUGUUUUUAAAGAAAUUUUCGAUAUUGGGAAAACGGGGUGUUACACAUUUAAUUUUCCCAUCAUUUUAUUUUAUCUUUGACUUAGUGUGUAUAAAUAGGAAAUUGAUGUAAUUUUAUUUCUUGCAUUUUUAUUUUGGCAUAAAGGCCUUAGGGUUGUAUUUAGGAAUUGAUGUAAUAAUGUAGGUAACACAAGCACCGACACAUGCACCGACACUACCACAUUUUAUUUACCACUUUCCGUUAGUUUUUGCGACGUUACGUUAGUUCUCACCGUUAGUUUAAAAAAAAAACUUUUUAUCAAAAAAAAACUAAAUAUGUCAAAUUCAAAAAAUCAUUUUUCUUAGCAACAUUUUCUCUUUAUUUUCUUAAUCAAAUUCUCAAUCAAUCUUAAUUCAACUUCAACCAUUUUUUUUUAAAUUUUAAAAUCAAUCAACCUCACUUGUUUUCUUUAUCUCAUGCCUUGAGGCCUCUUUCUCUUCUUAAAACCCAUUUCCAAAAAAAUCUUAAAAUCAACCUAACCCACCAAAGAAAUUCUUGAGUGUAACUACGUCGGUUUUGAUCCCUUUCCCAACAGGGUACGUAGGCAGAGGACUUGUUCUUCCAAAUCAAAUAAAAAUAACAGAAAACAUACUUCUUCUCCCUCCAUUCUUUCACUUAGACAUUAGGCAAUAAUUUUUUCAAAUGAACAAGUAUUUUAGCACAAGAUAAUCUAGGUAAGAGGUUCCUACGGAAUACCGUAGAUGCUUAGGGUGCUAGCACCUUCCCUUCGCAUAACCAACCCCCGAAAUUUCCAUGUUGCUUAUAGAAAUCGUCCGUACAAACCACUUUCUUCCCUAGCUUCCUUAAACUCAAGAGAUCUGGCUUCUUGAAACUAUACUGCCUAAGGCUCCUCAUAUCUACAAUGUUUACAACAAAGCUUUUAUAAGUCCUUCAAAAUUUUUGAUGAAUGGAAAAAAUAUUUAUGGAUGGAUACAUGUAUGCAUGAUAAUACUAAAGCACAUAGGAUGCACGGUGAGGUUAAAUUCAUAUGUUGGAGUCAAAGGGUAACAACGCCAUUUGGUAAGGACUAAGGUUUUUAAAUUGCACUGGUAACAAGGGUUCUACCAAGUUCCCAAAGUCUUUAACCACUUCAAAAUAUUUAUCGGGUGACGGGAGUACUCCCAUUCCAAUUAUAUUUGUCGGAAAGUCUCGUUUGGGUGUAGCAUCGCGUAUCAACUAAUUCAAGAGUACUCUCGAUUAGCCACCGCACUACGUCCUAAAAGGCCAAAGAUAGGUUAAAGGUGACUAAAAGUCCUCAACUUCAAUGGUCACUUGAAAAUAGCAUGCCAAACAUGAGUACUCACGUUGACAACACAUACUUCCAAGAUUCCUCCGUUGAGUGGGGUUAUCACAUGUGCCAAUACCGAAGAGUACUCUUGGCAUGGAACUAUGAUUAUACCACCGUCCUAUCUUAAAUUUCCCUCAAACUCGGGUGUAGAGCUUAUCUCACCACUCACGUAAAAAGAAAUAACAUUUAGGCAUGUAUUUACAAGGCAUAAGAAAUAAUAAAGCACAAGGAUAAAGAAAGUAAGGUGGGUUUAACCCGCGUAGAAUUCAAGUCCCCAGUGAAGUCGCCAUUUCUGUGCUCGUGAUUUUCGGAUGUCAAACCAUUAAUUGAUUCGAAUCGUCAAUCUUUGAACUCUCGAUUUUUAUUCGUGGGAAGGGAAAAAAUGAGUAAAAACCCUUAUCGAGACUUUGGAUUCGGGGGUUGGUUACGCAAAGGGAAGGUGCUAGCACCCUAAGCGUCUACGGUACUCCGUAGGAACCUCUUACCUAAUUUAUCUUGUGCUAAAUUGCUUUGCUUAUUUGAAGAGAUAAAAAUAAAAUUAGAUGGUGAGUUGAAAAGGAACGGAAAAUUGAUUUUUUAUUGGAGAGAAAAAAGAAAAUUGUUUUUUUAGUUGAUUUGGAAGGACAAGGUCCUCUGCCUACGUACCCGUGAGGGAUCAAAACCUCGUAGUUCGGGAUAGAAAUUGACGUUUGAUUUACUUUUGUAUUUUUUAAUUAGUUUUGAAAGAGGUUUUAAAAUAAAAAGCCAAGCGGCAAAUGAGAAUUUGUUUGUGUUUUUUAUAUUGAAAGAUAAUAGACUCAAAGUAGAAUUAAAAUUGAUUGAGAUUUGAUUAAGAAAGAAAAUAAAAGGAACGACCACUUGAUUUGAGAAUCAAGGUUUAUUAUAAAAAUGUUUUUGUGAUUUUUGAUAUUUGAAUGUUUUUGUUGUUUUGGCAUAGUAGAUGAAAAUUAGGCUAACAGAGCAAUAAAAAAUAAAAACAUAGGACCAGAGCACUCUGGAGAAUGAUUAAAUUAAACAAAAAUAUAAUAUUAACAGUUAAUAUAAGACCAGAGCACUCUGGAUUAAUUUUAUUAACAAGGACCAGAGCACUCUGGAUUAAUUUAAUUAACAAGGACCAGAAUACUCUGGAUUAAUUUAAUUAACAAGGACCAGAUCGUUCUGGAGAAUAAUUAAAUUAAACAUAAAUAUAAUAUUAACAGUUAAUAUAGGACCAGAGCACUCUGGAUUAAUUUAAUUAACAAGGACCAGAGCACUCUGGAUUAAUAGAGAGAAAAUUAAAAUGCAUGAAAAAGAAAUUAAAAAAAAUGAGAUGCUGGGGGGUAAGCAAGAAAUAAAAAGGGGUGCAGGAAUUAGAAAAGAGAAUUGGGCUUAAGAAAACUGAACCGGGUCGGUUCUACGGGUCGGUCCAUGGGUUGAACCAGUGAACACAUAUAUAAGGGUUGUGGGUCACAAAAAUUGCCAUUUUUCAUUGUUUUUCUCUCUCUUCUCUUAUUUCUAGAGAGAGAAGCUCUGCCUUCUCUCUAGAAUUUCUUCAUCUUCUCCGGUGGAGAGAUGGUGGCCGGAGGCGGUUCCGGCGCGGCGGCCGGCGAGUUCUCGCGGCGGCGCCACCGCGCCGGAGUUAAAAAUGUCUCCUUUUUUUAUUUUUUUCGUCCUCUCUCCUUCUUUUUACUCACUCUUUCUGAUUUUAAGCUCAAAAAUUAUUUUUACCAAGCAGUUUGACCUAGAUCUAAGGAAAGAAAUACUACCUUUUGGUAGAUCCGGUUUGGAUUCGAAACCGGUGGUGGUAUGGUUCGGAUUUGAUGAUUUGUUGCGCUAGGGUUAUGGUUUAUGAUGGUUUAGUGAUGGUAUUGUUUGGAGUGAUUUGUAGAUUUGGUGAUGGGGGUUUAUGGUACUGUGAUGUUAUUACGUGAGAUUGGGAAAGGUUUGUGAGAUUUUGUUGCAGUGGAAUUUUUUAUGAGUUUUCUCCUCCUUUUUUGCUGGUGGUUGUUGGUUGUAUUUAUAGAGCUGAGUUGAGCAGAAUUUUGUUGCUUGGAGAGGAACAUGACAGGCUGUUUUUUUGUGGCUUGGAGAGGAAGUGUGGCAAAGCUGUCGUGGCUUGGAGAGGAAGGGUGGCAAGCUGUUUUGGCUUGUGUUCCCUUUGGAUAAAAUUUUGACAAUAAUAAUAAUAAAAAUAAUAAAAUAAAAUAAAAAUACAAGGACUAAAGUGAAUCAAAAUGAGAUAAAAAAAAAGAUAAAAAUUUAAAACGGAUUUAAAAUUAAUAAAAGUUGAAAAUAAAAAUUAAAUGAAAAUUGAGAGAAGAGACCCGACUCGGAAUCAAAUAUGAGGUAUUUUAAAAUACCUAUCUGCUGAAUUUUUUGCUCGAAAGGCUGAGACCGGUCGGAGUUAAAUGACAUGUGUCACUAUUGUCUUAGGUCAAAAAUUGGGGUAUGACAAUAUAUGUCGGCGUGUGUUUUCACGUUUAGACUUUAUUACUCUUAAGUUUCCAUUGAAGCUAAAGACCUUUAGUAACCCUUAACCCAUCUUGGCCUUUUAGGACGUAGUGCGGUGGCUAACCGAGUGUUUUCUCGGAACUAGUCGACACGCGAUACUACACUCAAAUGAGACUUUCCUACGAACGUUUUUGGACCGAGUGUUUUCUCGGUAUCCGAUAAUAUUCGGAAGUGGUCGAGGACUUUGGGAACCUUGGUAGAACCCGUGAUACAGGUACAUUUGAAACCAUAGUCCUUACCAAAUGGCGUUGUUACCCUCGACUCCAACAUGUGGACUUAACAUCACCAUGUAUUCUAUGUACUUUAGCAUAACCAUGCAUACAUGCAUUCAUUCAUAAACAACUUUUUCCAUCAAAAAAUUGAAGGACUUAGACAAGUUUUUUUUUUUGCAAACAUCAUGGGUAUGGACUUUGUAAGAAUGAACACCAAGAGAUACAACUUCAAAAAAAUCUUAACUAAACUUUAGCUUUUGUUAAGAACUUUUUCUUUGGUUUCGAUCUUACCUUUUGAAAAAAGAACCUUUUGCAAUAUCUUCAUAAUUUUCAAAUGAAACCAUGUUUCUCUACCAUGUUUAAAAAUUAACUUUGAUAAGUCCUUCAAAAAAAAAAUAAUACAUUUUUGCAUACAUAUAUCAUGCAUCAUUUUUUUUCAUUCAUAGUUUCUAGUUUGUGUCUCAUACUGUAUCUUCUCCAUAAAAGGUCUAUCUGUCGGUCUAAUCGCAUCUACAACACUCGAGCAAAUCAGAAUGGAUCAUAUUGAACAAGAGAACCACAAGCUUCGUGAAGAGGUGACAACCCUCCGGACCGAGAAUGAGAUCUUAAGGAACUUAGUAUCUUUGAUGACGAUGGCACAAAGACAACCAUUAUCUCAUCCUAUUGUCAGCACUCAGGAUCAGACGGUUGCUUCCACUACCCCGAUUUCAACAGUGUUUGCUAGUAGUCCUCAACAUGCUAUGCUUGAAGGUUAUCUAUGGGGCACACCCUUUGGUUCUGGUGAAGUAUUUUGUCCUGAUGACUCUAAGGUUCAAGCUCCUUUUGUGCAACUGACAACGCCUAUCCCUCAACCGGGUCCUUUGUUCCCUCAAGCUGCUAUGAUUCAUACUACUCAGCAAGGCCAUAAACCAAUCUAUCGUUCAGGAAAUGUGGUUGCAUACGACCGGACAGCUGAACUGGAAGACAGGUUUGACAGAAUACAAUUGGAAUUGAAAACUCUUCGUGGGAAAGAACUGUUUGGGAAAAAUGCUUAUGAUCUUUGCUUGGUUCCCAAUGUCGUGAUACCACCCAAGUUCAAAGUCCCUAAUUUUGAGAAAUACCAAGGAAACUGUUGAAUAUUAGCACAGAAUCAAUCAGAUUUUGUGCUGUUUGACUUAUUAUAACUGGUUGUAAAUACUAAUUAAUUGUAAUUAGCUGUAUUAGAAUUAGAAUUUAAAGGGAGAAUAAGUAGCAUUUAUAGACAGAAUAAUUUGUUUUAUUUUCUGGCUAGAAUAGCACUCUGCCUACAGUCCCUUGUAUUCUAUAAAUACCUCCUAUGUACUGUUUUAUAUAUCAAUGAAAUAUAGAGCAUAUUUCCAUAUGGUAUCAGUGGCAGCAAGAAAUCCAUAGGGUUUAUUUUGCUUCCGUAUUUUUUUAUCCAUCCCACAUAAUGUCUGAUUCCAUGUCUGAUAGUGAGUCCCAGCAUUCACCCAAACAUUCUUCACCCAAUUCAGAUACCAUAUGGAAACCACCCUGUUCAGAUCACAACAAUUCGGCUGAACGGUGCUAAUUACUUUCGUUGGUCACAGUCUGUUCAAUUGUAUAUCAGGGGGAGAGGAAAGAUUGGCUAUAUCACUGGCGACAAGAAACAACCAGACAAGGUAGGCGCAGAUUAUGAUACAUGGGAUGCUGAAAAUUCCAUGGUCAUGACAUGGUUAGUCAAUUCUUUGACUGAAGAGAUAGGUGCGAACUAUCUCUGUUAUGCUACCGCAAAAGAUCUUUGGGAGAAUGUCUCUCAAAUGUACUCUGAUUUGGGAAACCAGUCCCAAAUUUACGAAUUAACUCUCCAGCUUGGAGAAAUUCGGCAAGCUGAAGAUUCAGUCACCAAAUACUUCGGUUGUCUCAAACGUAUUUGGCAAGAUUUGGAUCUCUUCAAUGAAUAUGAGUGGAAAUCACCUGAGGACUGCAAGCACUACCAGAAGAUGGUGGAUGUUAGCCGUGUCUUCAAAUUUCUUGCAGGUUUAAAUGUUGAGUUUGAUGAGGUUCGUGGCCGAAUUCUUGGUAGGAAUCCUAUCCCUCCAAUUGGUGAAGUCUUUGCGGAAGUGCGUCGCGAAGAGAGUCGUAGGCAAGUGAUGCUCGGAAAGAAGAAAGCUGCUGUCCCGCCACCAGUUGAAGGAUCUGCCUUGGCUGUUCCUCAAGUCAAUCACAAAUCUUUCCGUAACCCACGAGGUGGUGACAAAACUCAUUUAGUUUGCGACUAUUGUGGCCGCAAUCGUCACACCCAAGAAACUUGUUUCAAACUACAUGGUAGGCCAAACAAUAGCAAGGCUGGUAAGUUUGGUGACCGACCUAUGCCUACAACCAGCAAUGCUGCUUCAUCUCCAUUUACUAAGGAGCAGAUGGAUCACCUUCUUAAGCUUCUAAAGUUCAAUUCAUCCCCUAAUACUCCAAUUGGUACUGUGGCACAAACAGGUAAGGAUUCUUGGGCACUAUCUGUCCAAAACCACUCCAACCCCUGGAUAAUAGAUUCAGGGGCAUCUGAACACAUGACUAAUUGCUCUCAUCUAUUCAGUUCAUAUUUUCCUAGUUCAGGCUCUGAAAAAGUUAAGAUAGCUGAUGGUAGUUAUUCCAGUAUUGCAGGCAAAGGCAACAUAAAAAUUUCAGAGCAAAUCACUUUGCAAUCUGUUUUACAUGUUCCCAAAUUUGCUUGUAAUCUUCUAUCUGUUCAUAAACUGUCUGAGGACUCUAAUUGUUCUGUUCUUUUUUGUCGUUCUACUUGUGUUUUUCAGGACCAGAACUCGGGGAAGACGAUUGGAACUGCUAGAGAGAUUAAUGGACUGUACUACUUUGAUGAAACCCCUCUUGGCAAUACAGCAAUGUUUGGUUCAAGCCGUACGAGUCCACCUCUUGUUUCAAAUAAAAUCAUGUUAUGGCAUAAAAGAUUAGGUCAUCCUAGUUUUUCUUAUCUUAAGCAUUUGUUUCCUGAAUUUUCCAAAGAAAUAAGUUCUUCACAAUUUCAUUGUGAUGCUUGUCAUUUAGCUAAAGAUCAUCGUGUGUCUUUUAAUUCAAGAGGUUAUUCCGCUUCCAAACCUUUUUAUCUAAUUCAUAGUGAUGUUUGGGGUCCUUCAAAAAUUAAAACUUUAUCUAGAAAAAAAUGGUUUGUGACAUUUAUUGACGAUCACACACGGGUUUGUUGGGUUUACCUCAUGGAAAAGAAAUCAGAAGUUGAACAAAGGUUUCAAGAUUUUUUUAACAUGAUUAAAAAUCAAUUUCAUACCACGAUUGGCAUUCUAAGGUCUGACAAUGGCACUGAAUACUUCAACAAAUAUUUAAGUACAUUCCUAGUAACUAAUGGGAUAAUUCAUCAAUCCACUUGUCGUGAUACUCCACAACAAAAUGGUAUUGCUGAAAGAAAAAAUAGACAUCUCCUAGAAGUUACUAGAGCUAUUAUGUUUUCUAUGAAUGUACCUAAGUAUCUUUGGGGUAAUGCUUUAUUAACUGCUUGUCACCUCAUCAAUCGAAUGCCAUCCCGUGUGUUACAAUAUGAGACUCCCGUGCAGGUUUUACAAAAUAAUUUUCCCACUUCUCGCAUUAUUACAAAUAUUCCCCUUAAAGUUUUUGGUUGUCUCUGUUAUGUUUACAUCCCAAAUAUUUUUCGUUCCAAGUUGGACCCUAAAGCUGAAAAAUGUGUCUUUCUUGGCUAUGCUUCCAAUAAAAAGGGAUACAAAUGUUUUAACCCAGUUACAAAGAAAUUUUUUGAAAGUAUGGAUGUCCACUUUGUUGAAGAUCAACCUUUUUUUAGAGAAAAUUCUCUUCAGGGGGAGAGUCAGAGUAGUAAUGAGGAAGAUAAUUUUUGGGAAAUUUUACCAGUUCUUGAUGAUAUUGUAACAAAUGAUCAUCUAGAUGCUAAGAUAACAGAACCUAGAAAUCCUAACCUUGAAUUACUAGAACAUAUGGUAUUUGAAACAGGGGGAGAAGAGGGAGAAACACUGAUUAAGAAUCCUGAACUUAGAGUGUAUGUUCGGAAAAAAUUUCAUAAAGAUGGUACAAAUCCCAUUGUCUUUCCGGCAGAAGUUCAAUCGGAUUCUCCAAGUGAAGGUCCUACUGAUAAUCCAUCUUCUAGUUCCUCCGGUAAUUCUUCUCACUCAUCCAAUGAUUUACCUGAUUUGUCUUUUCCUGAUAUUAAUCUUCCGAUUGCUGUGAGAAAAAAUAUCCCUGACCUCAAUAUUCCUAUUGCUGAAAGAAAACGUACCCGUACAUGCACUAAACACCCCAUGUCUAAUUACUUGUCGUAUGACAAGUUAUCCCACAGUCACAAAGCAUAUGUGUCUAGGAUUUCUAAUUUGUUUGUGCCCAGAACUAUUCAGGAAGCAUUAGGUGAUCCGAAUUGGAAAUUAGCAGUGAAAGAAGAGAUGAAUGCUUUGAACAAAAAUAACACUUGGUGUAUCACUGAUCUACCUUAUGACAAAAAGGCAGUAGGAUGUAAGUGGGUCUUUACAGUGAAGUGCAAGGCUGAUGGAAGUGUGGAAAGAUACAAAGCAAGAUUAGUAGCAAAAGGAUUCACUCAAACUCAUGGUAUAGAUUAUCAGGAGACUUUUGCCCCGGUUGCUAAGAUCAAUUCCAUCAGAAUUCUUCUCUCUCUUGCAGUAAAUUUCAACUGGACCCUACAUCAAUAUGAUGUUAAAAACGCCUUCUUGAAUGGAGAAUUACAUGAAGAAGUGUAUAUGCGCUUACCUCCGGGAUUUGAAGAUAAGCUUGGAAGAGGUAAAGUUUGCAGAUUGAAGAAAUCCUUGUAUGGAUUAAAACAAUCGCCAAGGGCCUGGUUUGAGAGAUUUGGAAGUGUUGUCAAGGGACAUGGCUUCACUCAAAGUCAAGCUGAUCACACUAUGUUCUUCAAACACUCACGUGAAGGUAAGAUUGCCAUCUUAAUAGUGUAUGUUGAUGACAUUAUUAUGACAGGAGAUGAUAUUGGAGAGAUUAGUGAUCUAAAGAGAAGACUUGAGGCUGAGUUCGACAUCAAGGAUCUUGGAAAAUUAAAAUACUUUCUCGGUAUGGAGUUUGCAAGAUCGAAAGAAGGAAUUUUCCUCAACCAGCGGAAGUAUAUACUUGAUUUACUCACAGAGACAGGGAUGACAGGGUGUAAGGCAGCAGAAACACCAAUGGAUCCCAAUGUGAAACUAAAAUCAGUUGCUGAAGAUGAAAUAAUAGAUAGAGAACGCUAUCAACGGUUGGCUGGUAGGCUAAUUUAUUUGUCACAUACAAGGCCUGAUAUAGCAUUUGCUGUGAGCGUAAUAAGCCAAUUUAUGCAUGCACCAGGGCCAGCCCACUUUGAAGCUGUUUUCAGAAUAUUGAGAUAUUUAAAGGGAACUCCAGGAAAAGGGUUAAUGUUCAGAAACAGAGGGCAUAUACAGGUUGAAGCCUAUACAGAUGCUGACUGGGCAGGUAAUAUAAAUGAUCGGAGGUCUACAUCCGGAUAUUGUACCUUUGUAGGUGGAAACUUAGUUACAUGGAGGAGCAAAAAACAAAAUGUUGUAGCCAGGAGCAGUGCAGAGGCUGAAUUCCGAUCGGUGGCUCAUGGUUUUUGUGAAGUACUAUGGAUCAAAAAAUUCAUGCAAGAAUUGAAGAUUGCAGGCCCAACUCCAAUGAAAGUUUAUUGCGAUAAUAAGGCAGCUAUUUCUAUUGCUCAUAACCCUGUUCUACAUGAUAGAACGAAACAUGUUGAAGUGGACAAGCACUUUAUUAAAGAAAAAAUUGACAGUGGUGAGAUUUGUAUGUCUUAUAUACCUACCAAAAGUCAAGUAGCAGAUGUCCUCACAAAGAGCUUACCUAAGAGACAGUUCGAUGACAUGGUGUGCAAGCUUGCUAUGAAUGACAUAUUCAUGCCAGCUUGAGGGGGAGUGUUGAAUAUUAGCACAGAAUCAAUCAGAUUUUGUGCUGUUUGACUUAUUAUAACUGGUUGUAAAUACUAAUUAAUUGUAAUUAGCUGUAUUAGAAUUAGAAUUUAAAGGGAGAAUAAGUAGCAUUUAUAGACAGAAUAAUUUGUUUUAUUUUCUGGCUAGAAUAGCACUCUGCCUACAGUCCCUUGUAUUCUAUAAAUACCUCCUAUGUACUGUUUUAUAUAUCAAUGAAAUAUAGAGCAUAUUUCCAUAGAAACACUUGUCCUGAGCUUCAUUUGGUAAUGUACGUGAGAAAGAUGUCUGCUUAAGUAGGUAAUGAUGAGCUCCUUAUCCACUGUUUCCAAGAUAGUUUGACUGGUGCCGCACUGAUAUGGUAUAUGGGCCUACACAAGGUUGAUAUCAAAACUUUCAAUGAUUUGUGUGAGGCUUUCGUCCAGCGAUAUAACUACAACUUGCAUUUGGCCCCAAACAGAAAGGAACUGCAAGCCAUGACCAUGAAUGAUAAUGAAUCUUUCAAAGCUUAUGCCCAACGGUGGAGAGACGUCGCUGCACAGGUUCGUCCACCUCUAGAAGAGAAAGAAUUUACCGAGAUUUUCUUGGAGACUCUGGAUCAGUUCUAUUAUGAGCAUAUGCUUACAAGUGCAUCCGGCAGCUUCGUAAAUAUGAUGACUGUGGGCAUGCGUAUUGAAGAGUGGGUCCGAAAAGGACAAUUGGUCAAAGAAAGUGCUCCCACAGAUGAUUCUGAGUACGAAGAUCAGGAAAUGAGUGUGGUAGAAAGUCAGCCUCAACCACAGUAUCUGGCUUAUCACCCUGCUGCCGCUAUUAUGCCUAUCAUAAAUCCUGUUCAAAACUCGGGUUAUCAACCUCAGUUUCAACCAUAUCAACAACAGUAUCAACAACAACCUCGACAACAGGCUCCAAGAACUCAAAUUGAUCCUAUUCCUAUGAGGUAUGCAGAGUUGUUUCCAAGGUUGCUUGAAAGGAAUUUGAUCCAUACCAAGGCACCUCUCUCGGUGCCGGCAAUUUUGCCAGCAGGAUAUAGGGCUGACCUCUUUUGUGCCUUCCAUCAAGGGGCACCUGGUCACGAUAUUGAAGAAUGUUUUGCAUUUCAGAAGAUAGUUCAGAAAUUGAUUCGAAAAAACCUCAUACCUCUCGAAGAGUUUGAAUUUGAGUGUGUAAGUUAAUCCGAUAUCGGAUUUUGGUAUCUAAGGUUGACACAUGAGAUGUUUUAGCUGCAUUUGGGUCGCUGCUAAUGUUUUAUUUCUACUACUUUUUGUUCAAUUAAUAUGUUUGUUUGUUGCUUUAUGUUUUUCAAAAACAAAAAAAAAAACCUUUCCUCCCACCUGAGGCGAAAGUGAAUUUGUUUAGGGCUUUUUGCUUUAUGUAUUUUCAUCAUUAGUGAAAGGUCGCUUGAUCCCGACUUUGUUUUAUUUUGUGCUUUUUCUGGAAAAAUGGUAAUACAAAAAACCAAAAAAAAGAAUUUUUUUCUUUAAUCAUUUCCACAUAUCUGCAUAACCAUAAUGUUUAUAUCAAUAAUCAAAUCAUGCAUUAAUAAACCCGUUGAACACUUAAACCCUGUACUCUCGCUCGACUUUGAGUUCCUUGUAUCUGAGGCUGAAGAAGAGGAUGAUGAAGAAGUUUCCACUGAGAUUUCUCGCCUACUAGGGCAUCUUGGCCGUCGUAGCUACAAAUAUCAAGAGAGUUUGUCCAGAAGAGGACUUUCAUGUACAAAGACUGGCACGAGAUGCCACCAUUUGCCUUGCAAGGAUAUUGUACUUCAAGUGAACAUUUCAGCAGGGGCAACCCCCCCUCCAUCCCUCAGUAUACAACAUAAAGACAGUGCCUUACAUGAAGGUCAAAGUCCCGUCAAGCAAAAGGCACUGUCUUUAUGUUGUAUACUUCAAGCAAGGUUUUUCAUCAGAAGCAAAAUAUCUUCACCAGAAGCUGCAUUUGAUCCUUUAAUCAAACUGAAGAUUUAAAGUAGCUGGUUCUCCAUUCAGCCUUAUCUAAGAAGAACGAAGAAUUAAAAGGGAGGUAUCAACGGUCAUUUGGAGAGCUCUGAACAUUUGUCCUUCGUUAACAGAGUUGACAAAGUACAAGUGUACAACCACUACCUCCACUACUCUGUUUUGUCCACGCUACAAGACAAGACAACAGCUAUGCCUGCAGAAUAUGUGCCUUCAAGAUGGGAAUGAAUUUGAAGCUGAUUCUUCAAAGGACUACACCCAAAUCAGGCAAAGGAUUACUGGUGAUGAUUUAAGGAAUUCAAACGACUCUUUAGACAUGCUGAUUAUCUCAACGUCUCUUUCACGCCUCUAUAUAAAGGAGUGAAGACUUGAAGAUAGUAGACAGAGAUAUACAAGUUCAAAAGCGCCAAAACUCUGUCAAAUUGAUUCUACAAAGCACACAGAAUUUCUGCACUGAUUUGAUAAAUCUUAGAAAUUCAAAGUCUAGAGUCUUUACUGUAUUGUAUUGAGAACACCACUGAUUGUAUAUCAAGUGUUCAAGUCAAACUCAAUUGUCUGUAUUUUUGUUUGAUUAGAAGUCUCUUGCUUAGUGCUUGAGCAUUAGAAGUCUCUUGCUUAGUGCUUGAGCAGUGGAAGUCUCUUGCGUGUGUGCUUGAGCAUCUUUGUGAAGUCUCAUACUUUGAAAGUAUUGAGCAGUUGUAAUCUUGUUGAUUAUAGUGAAAUCUCCUUGGAAGUGCAAGGGGGACUGGACUACUUCCGUGUUGUGGAAGGAACCAGGAUAACUGCUUGUGUCUUUGUCUUUCUUUUCUCUACUCUGUUCUUUUCCGCUGCACAUCUAAUUCUGAUCAAUUCAUCAGAAGCACUCAUAAACUGCUUCUGAAGAUUUAUCUGAAGAAGAUUAUUUAAGAGAGAAAAAGAAAACACAAUUCAACCCCCCCUUCUUGUGUUUUUCUCACCUUCAAUAAGAAGCCGUUGCAAUUUCUAAUCUCGAAGUUGGAGGAGCACAACUAUACUUAUUACUCAAGAACACAACUUGAAAGUAAUACAAUUGAAGAUAUCUUUUGGGCUCAUCCAACAUCCAUUAAGUUGUUUAACAAUUUUCCAACGGUUUUGGUUAUGGACUCCACCUACAAGACCAACAUGUAUAGGAUGCAAAUGUUUGAGGUAGUUGGGGUCACUUCAACCGAUUUGACAUAUUCGGUUGGGUUUGGAUUUAUGACACAUGAGAAAGAGGAAAACUUUGUUUGGGUUUUAAAAAUGUUGCGUAAACUUCUUUCGUCAAAGAUGAAUAUGCCUAAGGUGAUUGUUACCGAUAGGGAUAUGUCUUUGAUGAAAGCGGUUGCACAUGUUUUUCCGGAAAGUUAUGCAAUGAAUUGUUACUUUCAUGUGCAAGCUAAUGUCAAACAAAGGUGUGUCUUAGAUUGUAAAUAUCCUUUGGGUUUUAAAAAGGAUGGGAAAGAGGUGAGCAAUCGCGAUGUGGUCAAGAAGAUAAUGAAGGCAUGGAAAGCUAUGGUUGAAUCGUCCACUCAACAGUUAUAUGCAAAUGCAUUAGUGGAGUUCAAAGAUUCAUGUAGUGAUUUCCCAAUUUUUGUAGAUUAUGUCAUGACCACCUUGAAUGAAGUGAAGGACAAAAUUGUGAGGGCAUGGACAGACCAUGUGUUGCAUCUUGGUUGCAGGACCACAAACAGGGUCGAAUCGACUCAUGCUUUAUUGAAGAAAUACUUGGACAAUAGUGUGGGUGAUUUGGGUACUUGUUGGGAGAAAAUACAUGACAUGUUGUUGCUUCAGUUCACUGCUAUAUAAACAUCCUUUGGUCAAAGCGUUUGCGUGUUGGAAAAUAGAUUCAAAGAUGUCACUUUGUACUCGGGUUAGGUGGUCAUGUGUCUAGAUAUGGUUUGGACAACAUUGCUUUGGAAGAGACACGUUGUAGGGAAACAUUGUGCAUGGACAAUGACAUUUGUGGUUGUGUUCAAAGGACAUCUUACGGGCUACCAUGUGCAUGCGAAAUUGCUACUAAGCUCCUUCAAGUGAAGCCAAUUUUAUUGGAUGAGAUAUGUAACACUCUAAUUUUUUUAUUUAAUUAUUUUUAAUUGUGUGGUGUCAUUAUGUGAUUUUUGGUGAUUAUUGUAGUGUAUAUAUAUUUAUUAUAUGAUUAUUUUAUUAAAUAAUUAAAAUAGGAGUAAAAUAUGAUUAAUUAGAAUUAUUUAGGAGGAUAAGGAUUAAUUGGAAAUUAAUAGUGAUUAGGAGGGGUUUAAUGAAAAAUAGGAGUUACACUUUGAAGGAAUAAGGAAAGAAAAAUAGAGAAAAACAGUUUAACGUACAAAACAUACAAGUUUUGGGAGAAAAGCCAAGUGCAAGGGAGAGAAGCUUAGGAAUCAAUUGCUGCUGUAUUUUUCUGCGAAUCUAAGGUAAGGGUGAGGUUUACCGCAAUUAUAUAGAUUCUGAAUGUUGAUUGUGUUCUAAUAGGUUUAUGUGAGGAUUUGGGAGAAAUUGGGUUUUGUUGAUUAAGGAGUUUUGAGUGUAGAAAUCAUAGAAUUGAGGGUAGAAAUGGGUUCUGGGUGCAUAAAACCUUUCAUUGCAUAUCUGUAAACUAAAUUGGGGAGUGAAUUGAGGAAAAAUGGAAUUUUGGGAAAAACCUGCAUUCUGCCCGUACUGAAGUUCAUCGCUCGCCUCGCGAGUAGCCAUUGCUCGCCAUAGCGAGUGAACAACUUCAUCGCUCGCCUCGCGAGUGAAUCAGCUCGCCAUGGCGAGUAGCCUUGUAAAAAUCUGGAUUUUGAAAACGUUGUUAUAAGCCGUAUUUUGGGUAGUUUCGUGUACCUAGAUGAUUUUUAAGAGGACUAGAGCAAGUUUUAAGUUUAAAAGAUGAUCAGGGAGCUUAGAAAUGAGGAUUUAGUGAGAAAAAUGUCAUUUUUCCCGAGAGUACCAUAUUUCUGUUCGCCUCGAGUUCGCCUCCAACUCGCCAUGGCGAGUAACUAUUUUUCUGAGCUCGCCAUAGCGAGCAGAGGAGCUCGCGAGGCGAGCUGCCCAGUAAUUGGUUGUUUAAUUUCUGAUGUUGUCUGAAUGGUUUAUUUGGUUGAAUUAUUGCAUGGCUUGUAUGCUGAUAAUGUAUUUACUUGGAUGUUUGAUUGGUUACAAUGAAUGGAUGCUGACUGAUUGAAUGUUGUAUUUAAAUAAAAUUCCUUAACGUUGUAAGUUGGUUGGUGAAACAUAUAUAUAUAUAUAUGUCUAGGUGGGUUGGUAUGUAGAUAUACAACAAGGGGAUUAGUUGCAUUAACAUAACAGUGGGAGAGCUUCGGCUCUGGAAUGCUUAGUCGUUCAAAGUGGUGGAGUACUAGUUACUCAAAGUGGUGUAGUGGUGAGGACUUAUGUCCUGUUGAGAAUGCUUUAACCAUUCGACAAAGGUGUGGGUCACGGCCCUGAUUUUUGGUACCACAUGCAUGGGUGUUUAGAGGAGUCUUAGUGGAGUAGUAAUAAGUUGCAUAUAUUGUUGAGAGGUGUAUGAGUUAAUAUUGUUGAUAAGAUGUAAAAAUGAUGUUGUGUAAGUAAUAUUAAUGUGGAUGAUUUAUGAUAGGGUGUUAGAUUCAAUUGAUGCAUUCUUUAUCUAUAUUUUGUUGUGAAUCUCACCCCUUCUGCUUGAAAAUGUUGCCCUUCCUAUGGGUAACUUGCAGGUGAUCCUGAGUAGUUGGUGGUGGCUCAUUGUGUCUAGGGCUCUGAUACGUGGGAUGGGAUUUCUUUGUUUAAAUUCAUUCUAUGUAUCAAAUUUUGGAUAUUUUAUGUUGUAGCCCUAUGAAUGAAGAAAUAUUUUAUGUUGUGGCUUAAUGCCAAGAUUAUUUUGGAUAAUGGAGUUUAAUUUAAAGAUUAUUCCGCUGCAGUUAAAUGAAGGAUGUUGUUAAAUAGUUUUAAUCUAUUUAAGAAUUUUAUAUUUUGAAGUGUGACAUACCGUUUGAUGUUGAAACUCUGAUUUUAUAUUAUAAUUAAAUUGAUUUUUGGGAAACGGGG